GGUGGAAUAUUGUUUGAUCCAAAGGCUAUUAAUAAUUAAGGAGUAGAUCCAAGGGCUAAAAACUUAGAAGCACCAAGAAGGUGGUGCUUCUAAAAGUAUUCUAGCUCAAUUAUAUAUAUAUAUAUAUAUAUAUAUAUGUAUAUAUAUAUAGUCCGGCUACUAUACUAUCAAUAGUAGCAAGUCCUUGGUACUAUUGAGUUUUCUAUCGUUAGAUCCACGCUUUGAUCAUUUUCAUCCGUUGGAUUAUACUAUUAAACCAACCACCGACUCAACCCUAGGGGACCACUAUCAAUUUAACCGAGGACCACUAUCAUCCUAACCGUACAUCCUUUCAUCCAACGGCCGAAAACUCAAUAGUACCAAGGGCUUGGUACUAUUGAUAGNNNNNNNNNNNNNNNNNNNNNNNNNCUACCAAGUUGUUUUCAAUGAUGCGGCUUCCAAAUCGACGAUCGGCUCCGUUAGACUUGAUCUAUACUAUUUAAAGUAUUUGAAAAUUAAUUUUUAUAAUUUUUCGGCAUCAUUUACCUAUCAAACAAGUAGUCUAAAAAUGAACGGCUGAAAAUAAAAAUUUUAUAAAAAAUGAUGAUAAAAGACUUGAAUUUAAGAUCAGAGGUACUGAUCUUACUCUAAAUGGUGAAAAGAAUUUUCUAUAAAAAUUUCAUCAGAUUUGGAUUGUUUUACACCGUUAAAUUCACAAACGCAUCACAUCUACCAUUAAAAUUGUCAAUUUUGAGACCUUUUGAUCACUAGCCAAAUGAUGUCGAAAAAUUAUGAAAUUUAGUUUCCAAAUACUUUUAAUAAUGUAGAUCAAGCCUAACGGAGCCAAUCGUCGAUUUGGAAGCCGCAUCAUUGAAAACAACUUGGUAGCACGGAGGCCUCAGUGCUACCGAUAGUAUACUAGUCUAGCUCUCUCUCUCUCUCUCUAUAUAUAUAUAUAUAUAUAUAUAUAUAUAUCUAUAUAUGUAUAUAUAUAGAGAACUAGGUUGGAAUACUUACCAAUAGUACCAAGCUAUCGGUGCUAUUAGGUUUUCGGCCCUUGGAUGAAGGAAUGUACGGUAUAGAACUAGGCUGGAAUACUACCAAUAGCACCAAGCUAUCGGUGCUAUUAGGUUUUCGGCCCUUGGAUGAAGGAAUGUACGGUAUAGAACUAGGCUGGAAUACUACCAAUAGCACCAAGCUAUCGGUGCUGUUAGGUUUUCGGCCCUUGGAUGAAGGAAUGUACGGUUAGGAUGAUGUGAGCCACCUAGGGUUUAGUAAGUUGUUGGUUGAAUAGUAUAAUCUAACGGGUGAAAAGAGUCAAAAGGUUAAAUCUAACGAUGGAAAACUCGGUAACACUAAGUGCUUAGUGCUAUCAAUAGUAUCCCAGCCGGACUCGAUAUAUAUAUAUAUAUAUAUAUAUAUAUAUAGAGAGAGAGAGAGAGAGAGAGAGAGAGAGAGAGCUAGGCUGGUAUACUAUCGGUAGCACGGAGGUCUCCGUGCUACCAAGUUGUUUUCAAUGAUGCGGCUUCCAAAACGACGAUCGGCUUCGUUAGACUUAAUCUACACUAUUGAAAGUACUUGGAAACUAAAUUUCAUAAUUUUUCGACAUCAUUUACCUAUCAAAUGAGUAGUCUAAAAAUGAACGGUUGAAAAUAAAAAUCUCAUAAAAAAUGAUGAUAAAAGACUUGAAUUUAAGAUUAGAGGUACUGAUCUUAUUUUAAAUAGUGAAAAGAAUUUUCUAUAAAAAUUUCAUUAGAUUUGGAUUGUUUUACACCGUUAAAUUCACAAACAUAUCACAUCUACCAUUAAAAUUGACAAAUUUGAGACCUUUUGAUCACUAGUCAAAUGAUGCUGAAAAAUUAUGAAAUUUAGUUUUCAAAUACUUUUAAUACUAUAGAUCAAGUCUAACGGAGCCGAUCGUCGAUUUGGAAGCCGCAUCAUUGAAAACAACUUGGUAGCACGGAGGCCUCCGUGCUACCGAUAUAUAUAUAUAUAUAUAUAUAUAUAUAUAUAUAUAGGAUAGGGCUACUACGCUACUAUACUCUUAUGAGUAUAGAGCCCUUCGUACUCAUAAGUUGUUUUCGAUGUUGGAGUUUCCGAAUCGACGAUCCACACUGUUAAAUAUGAUCUAGAGUAUUUGAAACUUCUAGAAAAUAAAUUUCGUAAUAUUUCGAAAUCAUUAUGAAGUCCAUCAAGCGGAUAUAAAAUAAACGGUCAAAAUCGAACGACGUCCUAAAAAUGGAUGAUUGGAUCCUUCAAUUUAAGAUCGGGGUUAUUGAUAUUUAUCUAGGUAAUGAAUAGAAUUUUCUAUCAAAGAUUCAAGCUAUUCCGAUUCUUUUACACCGUUAAACUAGCAAAUAUCACAUAUCGGUCAUUAAAAAUUGUCAAUUUUGUGAGCUAUUGAUCAUAAGGUAAAUAAUAUCGAAAAAUUAUAAAAUCUGAUUUUUAGAAGUUUUAAAUGCUCUAGAUAAUGUUUAACGGUCUGGAUUGUCGAUUCGGAAGCUCUAUCAUCGAAAACAACUUAUGAGUAUGAAUACGAUCGUACUCAUAAGAGUAUAGUAGCCUCCGUGCUACCGAUAGUAUACCAACCUAGCUCUAUAUAUAUAUAUAAAGUCCAGCUAGGGUGCUUUCGGAAGUUGCAACUUCCAACUUUUGGGCCUUUGGAUCGAUAAUAAAACCACCACCAAAUAGUAAACCCCGGUGAUCCAAGGGCCAAAAUGUUGGAAGUAGCAUAUUUCCAAAUGUACUCAGCGUACGCACAUGCACUUGAAGUUAAAUAUCUAGCUGCUCUGGUUCAAGUUAGUAACGUGAGAUUGAUUUUUUUUUUUUUUUGCGUCUUUUUUAUAUUAUUCUGAUUGAUAGCAUAAGGAACUCACUUUUGUUUCUUUCAUCUAAAGCUAAGUAUUUGUUGCCAUUCAUGCAUAGUUCAAAUGCAAUUUAGUGCCUUAUGGAUUAGUAACCAAAAGAUUAGAGGAUUGCCAUCUUCUACUAGGGCCAAAUGCAGUUUGAAUGGUUGCACACGUUUUGUCUAUUUGUCAAGUUUUUCAGGUAGGUCUCUAGUUCCUCUGGAGUUGAAUGUAACGGUUGCUUACCUUCUAUCCUGAUAUUAGUCUUAGUUGAGAAGUUUUCACAAGCAGCUCGCUGGUUUUUCUCUUUUAAUAUGUUCCAGGAACCUAUCUCAGCAUUAGCUUCUGACUACCCAUCAGAGAGCACUAUGAUACAGAAGAAAAUUAAGGUUAACUACUCAUAACCAUUUUAACUUGAAUCAAUUAUCCUUUUCAGGGGUUUGAUUUGAGUUUCAUUUAUAACUAAAAUGAUUCUAUGGAACAGCUACUUGAUGAAAAAUAUGCUUCCUUCAGACGAAUAUGUGGAGAUGGCAAUUGUUUCUAUCGAAGUUUCAUAUUUUCCUACUUGGUGAAUUCUGGGUUUCAACACUCAAUAUGUUAGUUUUCUUUGGCUUCUCUGCUCAUGUAGACUAAGUUGCAACAUGUAUAACAGGAACAGAUUGUCGAAAGGCAAGAUGAAGAUGAGGUUUGUCGGCUGUUUGCACUUCUCGAACAAUGGAAAUUGGAUUGUGUUAGUCUUGGAGAGGAUGGAGGAACCGUUUCUGAUCUCUCUCGCGUAAUUGCUUCUUCCUUAAUCCGAUUUAUAAACAGUUGUUGUUUUAUAACCUAGCAUUUGGGCAUAUUAUUUCUUUGAAUUGGUUACAAACUAGUCCCUUAAAUUUGAGCUUGAUUUCAACUACAUUCUUAGAGCUUCAAUUUUAGCAAAUUAAUUCUCAAAGUUUAACUGGCAUGGUCCCUUCUUUUAGUCUACCUUCUAAAAUGUCAUCAUGUUAACCACAUCAAUGCUAGUGCUAGUCUCAACAAAAAAGAAAAAGAAAAAACAAUGUCAUGUCAGCAAACUCUAUUGAUUAUGUUGAUUCAACAUCUCUUUUAGACAGCGGAUUUUGAAAGGAUUUAACUAUUACGCUAGAUGAACUUCAUGGUUUAUAUCGUUAAAAUGAAGCUUUAGGGAUGUAAUUGUGACCAGGGUCAAACUUAAAUUAUGAUUUCAAUCCACCCUAUUUCUCGUGCUUACUGUGCACUCCCUAUUCUGAUACCUUAAGAAUUCAUAUAAUUCUCCCUCAUCAUCGUUGGGAUGCCAGAAAUGAAAAUCAAAAUCAGAAUAGUUUUGCAAGUGAAGGAAAUGCUCAUGCACAACAAACUCAGAAAAGAUUAUUUAACGUGUGUACACAGAACUACCAAUUAGGUGACAUAGGAGUUUGAGUGUGAUAGGUUUUAUCCCACAUUGGAAUGUAAUUAAGAGAGUGAAGGAUUAAUAUAUCCUAUUGAGCCCAAACCUAACAACUUUGGCUUUUAAUUUGGGCUUGGAAUUUAGAUAAUGGAGUGCUAUUUAGAUAAUGGAGUGCUUUUACUUGCUCUGUGACUUCGACUAGCUUUUUCAUGUCUAUUCAAAUCUAAACGUGGUAGAACGGCUCAGCUUUUCAAGUCCUAUACAAGGUUCUAUGCUAUUAAAAUAUUAUUAUCUAUCAUUUCCAGUUGAAAACAAAGUGCAAGAAUCUUUUAUGAAGAUUGAGGAAGAAAGGAAAUUGUUGUGAUCCGGGGUGCAAUUGUUCUCCUGGUCAGCGUUGUAGUAGUUGGCACCUAGUUUAGAUGGACAAGGGCAUGGGCCACAGAAUGUUACAUGACUAAGCUGCAGGAGAUGAUCAACUUUGAAAGCAUUAGCACAUGGCAUGAUCUGGACAUGGCAAAUGAAUAGCAUAUUGUUCUUUAAAAAAAAAAAAUCCCUAAAAGAAUAAGCUUAAUUAUUUGUGUUUUAAAAAAAUCCUUAUCUAGAACAUUCUUCUUAUUAUUGUCAUUUUUUUUAAAGAAAUGACAUUAUUAUUGUUGCUUUAUAAUCUAUAGAAAUCAAUUGGACUUCCGUACAGAUAAAAAUUGAAAAAUUGUACCAGUUGAGAAUUUGGAAUAUAUCUUGGAUUCAAUGGAAUGGUCACAAUAGAAGGAAAAAUAUUUGUAUCACCUGGCACUUGAAGUACUAGAUCGAAAAGAGCAAAAAAUCGAUGACUUUAUCCUUUCACAUCUUAUGUUUAAUAUGUCAUCAACACACUUUGAACUUGAAAGAAAUAUACUUGAUCAUGAGGGACAAGCAACCUAGGAAACACAUAUAUUUCAGUUGUGUUCAGGAUGUUUUGUGCCAGAUACAUAUCCUACGAUAGCAAGACACUACCAACACAUAUCUGACAUGUUCAAUUUGUGUUUUUAAGUUGUGUCAUGCCCAUAACAUGUCUGUUUGUCCUCCUCAUUCAACAUGUUCCAUAGCAUGUCUGUUGCAUAUGCCCUCAGGAUCAAGGACAUCCAUUAUUAUAAUUAAUUAAACCUAAUAUAGUUAUUAUUUUGUUUUAUAUAUUUGUCAAAUCAGGAAUAUCAAUUUCUUUUGAUAAGUGAAGAAAUUAUUAUGAAAAUGUUAUUUCUUUUAGAAACGUAAUGAGAAUGUAUUUAGUUCGACACUUUUUCUUCUGAAAAUUAAUAUUUUCAAACUUAAUAUUAUCAUUAACAAUUUCAGCGCGUUGUCUGUAUCCUAUAUUUUCAAAGUUGAAUGAGUCGACUGUGCGUGCUCUUUAGUCCCUUGUCCUUUGUCUGUAUCUGUGUGCCUAGCAUGCAACAAACAUGCGAUCGACAUGUGAUAUUAGGGUGGAGGAUAGUUGACAUAUAAUGGACUAGUAACAAACAUUUUCCCUGUGUCAGCCUAGGUAACUUGUCCCACAUGGACAUGACAAGGGCACAGGCAUUUUUGAAGUGUCUGUGUUUCGCAUGUUGGCACCAAUUUGCAGGUUUCUCCUCACAUUUAGUGAUUGAGAGAGUGGAGAUUCAUGUAUUCUGCUCGUGUCAAAUCUAGUGGCUUUAGCUUCUGGACUGGGUUAGACUUCAAGAGGCGUGUUAGGUCCUAAGUUGGAAGCGGGGUUGUAACCCAAAAUAACUGAUAGGUGAUGGGAAAUCGUGUUAUGGGAUCAAACUAUUUGAAACAAAAGAACAUGUAAUAUGUGUUAAAUGUUGAAGCGUCAAAACAAGCCAUUAGGCUGUUCUCUUGAUGUGCAAUUGUAGUGUUUCAGCUGCUCUUUUGACAAGAAAUUUUCCCAGUGCAGAGUUUUCUAUAUGGGCAAUUGCUUUUCAUGGAAUCAACUUAAUUUACAGUGCAUAUAUCACUGCUGAUCACAGUGAGCUCUUGAUUCAAGUUCCUAUUAUAAUUUUAAUAAAAUUCAAUAGAUUUUCUAGAGAACUAAGCUUUUAUAUGAUGAACUCGAAUUCUUUUUUCCCAAUGUCACAAAAAGAAAAGAAAAAAGACACCUAUAAAAGUAGAUCAUUUGGACCGGAGGUUUAAAUAUAUCAUAUGUGGAUGGUUUCUCAAAUUGGGGUUGUUUUCUUCUUCUUUGGUCUUUUGUUCUUCUGUCUGAUGCUUUUCUAUUUUUUUUUUGCUUUCAGGUGUUUGCUUCUUUGCUGAGAAAAAUUUGUGGAGGGAGAUCAGCAAAUGAGAUGUAUACACAUUCAGAUCCCUGUUGUUUAGGAGCUGUUCAAUUGUUUUCUUUUCUAUUAUUAUAUAUUCAACUGUUCCAUCUGUAGUUUAACUAUUCGAGAGCUGUUGGAGAGAAGUCAGAAAGUGAUAGAAACAAAUGCGAGUGAGGAAUAUGAUUCAGUUAUUCUCUUUUUUUUUUUUUUCCUUCCUGCCAUCAUUUAAUUCCAGAUAAUUAAUUUAUCUUCCUAUUUUUUAUCAGUUUUGACUUUCCUCAGAUUGGUCACUUCUAUUGAGAUUCGCAAGAAUGAGGAGUUCUACUGGCCAUUUUUGGGCGAGAUGGAGCACAAAACAAUUAUUGAUGUUCGGACUGCGACCGCAUUCUAACUAAUGCAAAUCAGCAAAAACUUUUUAGCUGUUCGAACUAUAUAUCCAACCAUUUUCUUUAACUUCUUUCUGGCAUUGUUGAUUUGCUAACAGUACUGCAAGGAGGAAGUUGUCCAGAUGGGAAAGGACGCCGAUAUUAUCCAUGCCACCGCUCUCGCGAAUGCGUUCGGCGUUCCGAUACAUGUAGUGAGUCUCGAUACAUCCUUUUCGUCUGGCAAAGUAGGACCGGAUUACGUUCUCUCUCCAAGAAAUGGGACCAAAGAUGUUAGUAAUGUUCCGGCUCCUGGAAGUGGUCCUACCAAGGAUGGAUCAAGCGCAAGCGAAAGCUCUUCUCCAAUGGGUCGACGCCAAGUGCUCACUGUGACCCUACUUUACAGGCCCGGUCAGUAUGACAUUAUCUAUCCUAGGGAGAAGACUUCAUGAGAUAUUUCCAAUACAUGUUUGCUAGUAAAUUUUGAAUAGUAGAUCGAAUGACGGUUGGUAUUCAAUUGAUUGUUGGAUUCUUUUGUCGAAUGUAAAUUCUUCUCCACUUUUCAACAAAAUUGUAAAUAUGAACUCUUCUUACUAAGAAAGAUUUCAAGGAUGCAGAGAUUUUAUGCGCAUUUAGAAGCUAGUACUAGAUUGUGAAUUCGAUUUGGAGCUUUCUCUAAGCAGUUGCCUUGUUCAUAAAUAUGAAUGGUUGUCGACUAAACAGAUGUAGAUAGUAGUGUUGUAUCUUUUAGUUAAUGGUAAAGAUAUAUUCACAGUUGAUAAUUGUGAUCUGAGAUUCUAUAUUUUCUGCUGGAUAUAUAAACAGUAAACUUCGUCACUGAGUUUUUCGGUAAGCCUUUGCCUCCGUAUCAAUUAGAUAAAAAUUGUAUCAAUUUUUCAUUUUGCACUUUAUCGUUUUUGGAAUUCUUGUCAAGUUUAGCUGAAAAACUUUCUGAAAGUAAGUUUGUAGAUGAAUUUCGUUAUAUUUAAUGUACUUGAAUCAUAUAAACAGAAUAAAAUUGUUCAACAAACUAUCAACUUUGAUAGUAUUAGUAGAGGUUACACUAGAUCAUCUAUCUCAAAUUUUAUAUCUAUUUUCUAAAUUGUAAAUUAGAUAUACGCCGCGAUGCAAAAUAAUAUGACAUGCCAUCUCAUAAUAGGUGAUGUUUUGCAAUUGAAUUCAACCUAUUAUUCCCAAAUAUUGGGUCUAUUUGAGACAAUGGUAAACUAUGUUGACAUAAUUUUUAAUGUAGGAGAGUAUGGGAGUCAAUGCGUAAAAUGCUGGGUUGUUUCGUUUUCUAGUUCAAUGCUAACAUCAUGUGAAUAUAUUAUUAUUUGAUAACUCAAAAUAUUUUAUUAUUACUAAAAACUCAAAAAAGACAGGAUAAAUUUUAAGGCCGUUGCGUAGAAUUAUAACCUCUCUUUUUCUUGUCAGAAUUACCAUUUCUUUUCAUGUUAAAGAUUAGAAAUUAUAUAUACACUACAAUCGAAAUGUAUAUUUUACAUUCCACCCAUCUAAUGGAUAUGUAUACUAUUUAUAUACUCUUUUUGGGGUGUAUGUCUUACACUCCGCCCAUCUAAUAGAUGGGUGAUUCAGCCGGUCAUAUCGAGAUGACUGCUGGAGUAACCCCACCUAAUAAAAUAAAUGGGGUGUAAGAUUUACACCCACUUUUUGAGUGUGCAGAGAGCAUUAAUUAAAGUAUAAUUGUAAAUAUAUCAUAUAUGUAUCCUUCUAAAAUAUCAUGUAUAUCUCUAAACUUGACCGCUUAUAAAUGGUUCAAUCGUGGUGAUCGAAUUGAGCUUCAUCUAUUUUCGUCGUCUUAUCUAGAUUGCCUAAUGUUGUUCCGAUUUUUCUUACUAAAUUUAGUUCACUAAUUUAAUAAGAGUAAUGAAAGGUAUAUAUACCAAGAAGAGUCUUUUUAAGUCAAUAUAUGUUGGCAUUUGGUUAGUCAAGGAGCUAUUUACAAGUUUACAAUAUUAGUUUUUAUACUUAUUUAGAUUAAAAAAUUUAUGAAAUUUAAUGAUUCUAUCAAUUUUAACAGUUCAUUGGUCCAAUUUUAUUUGCUAAGAAAUAAUUAAAAUUAUUAACUUUCUUACAAUUAUUCAUGAAUUUAAUAAAAUCUCUCUCUCUCUCUCUCUACUAAAAUCAUUUUAAAUCUAAAAACUAGUAAUUAAAGAGGUCGUAAUAAAAAAAAUAUUGAAGUUGAGGACCUCAUUUCAAAUAUGCAUAGAGUUGAGGGGGUCUUCAUAUAUUUUUACUUGCACUCUUCCCAUGCAUCUUAGGUGGAAUUUUUUUCAAAAAUUACGCUAAGGCGCAAUAUUAGCAUCGAAACAGUAACUUUUGUUAAUUAUAAUGAUAAUGUAGAUGGCCGAAAUCAGUAUUAAAAAAAUUUUGUAAAAAUUACAAAUUUAAUUAAUAAAAAAUUAGAGGCCUAAUUAAAAAUUAGAAAAAUAGAGAAAUGCUAAGUCUACCAUAUAAAAUGGUUGGAAAUAAUACAUUCCUCUUCUCCCACCUAAGGUUGCUUUUAGAUUUUAGUAUUAUAAAAAUAAAAAAAUAAAAAAAUGAAAAGUACUAGUUUGUAAAAUUUGGCCUCUGGAUGGUCAUGCUGAAAGAUUGCAAUUCAAAGAGUAGGUUAUAAUAAGGAAAAGUCUACCUGGACACCCUCUUGUUGGUGUAUAUCCUACAACCUGAAGAUCCAAUGGGUGAGAUUAAGUAUUGACUAAAAGAGGGUAUAAGCUCACCCUUUUUUUCCAAAUCGAAGCCCUACUACUCUCUCUUUCUAUGUUUCUCGCACCGAAGUAUCGCUCUCGCUCUCUUUCUCUGUCUCUCGCAUCGAAAUAUCGCUCUCACUCUCUCUCGCGCCCUCGCCUCUCUCUCGCUCUCGCGCUCUCCUCUCUCUCUCUUGCUCACAAGUCCCUCUAUAGGGCAGAAGGUCAGCAGGGAGGGCCCUCGUUCCAUACAUUGUCGCGCUCGGUAGAACUACUACUCUCUCUUUUUCUGUCUCUCGCACCGAAGUAUCGCUCUCGCUCUCUUUCUCUCUCUCGCACCGAAAUAUCGCUCUCACUCUCUCUCGCACUCUCGCAUCUCUCUCGCUCUUGCGCUCUCCUCUCUCUCUUGCUCACAGGUCCCUCCAUCGGGCAGAAGGUCAGCAGGGAGGGCUCUCGUUCCAUACAUUGUCGCGCUCGGUAGCACUACUACUCUCUCUUUCUCUGUCUCUCGCACCGAAGUAUCACUCUCGCUCUCUUUCUCUGUCUCUCGCACCGAAAUAUCGCUCUCACUCUCUCUCGCGCCCUCGCUUCUCUCUCGCUCUCGCGCUCUCCUUUCUCUCUUGGUCACAGGUCCCUCCAUCGGGCAUAAGGUCAGCAGGGAGGGCCCUCGUUCCAUACAUUGUCGCGCUCGGUAGAAGCUCCUGUUCCAAGCCGUCUCGGAGCUGUCUCUCGCCCUUGCCUCUCUCUAUUAGUAGGAGGUCACCUCUCAAUCGCUUGUACGACGGUCCACACCGCUCUCCUGUCUAUCCCAGUACCUGUCACUCAUUCAUUCGCUCGUGGGCGUCCGAAAUUGGAAACGAUUUCGGAGCUAUUGGCUACAACCUAAAUAGAGGACUCAACUCAAACAGAGGAUUAUUUUAAUUCUUAUAAUCUUUUAUUCUCAAUUUUUUAUUUAAUAUAAAAUUUAUAUUUUGAGGGUUUAGAGUUCCAGCUUCGAUUUGUCUUUACGUGCUGCGGACUUCGUCACCGACUAGCUGAUUCAUUAUAUUUUAGAACACUGCUGGUAUAUUUUAUUUUUGGUUGCAUUUAUAAAAAUAAAGGGUUUACGGUUAGAAUUAGGGUUUAGGGUUUAAAAGUUGCUUUCACAGUCACACACCUAUACUCCAUGCAUUUCAUAAAAUUUUGUUUGGUUUAGGAUAGAAAACUGUAUUCAUUACAAAUAUACAAAUUACGCAUAUGAUUAAGUUUGAUUUCGUUUGAAUAGCAAAAAUGUAUAGAAAAUAUGUAUUAAUUACUAGUAUAUUCUCUUAUGGCUUGAUAGAACGGUGCUAUGUGGUUUUAAGAGUUAGUUUGCUACACUUUCUAUCACUGUAAUAGAGAGACUUGAAUACGAAAUUAUGGAGAAAAAAUGCUACAGCUGAAACAAAAUUAAACUUAACCAAAUUCAGAAAAAUAGUAAUUAAUGACCUAUACAUCUAUCUACUCAAGCAAAAAAAAUCCUAUUAAUACAAAAUAUUAUUAAGUAUAGAAAAUUUUCAAUAAAACACAAUUAUAAUAAAAAUACAUCAUCUGUUAACUAGUAAAUCAUAGUCCAAAUCAGUGAAAAAAUAGUGAAAGAAUUCACCAUAAUUAAAAAUUAAUAAUUUACUCAAAAAUAUUACAAAAUAUUGAAAAAUUAAGUGAAUCAAUGAGUUUAAAUGAAGCAAUGAAUUUUUUAAUUAGUUCAAAUGAAAAAAAUGCGUUCAAAUUAAAGGAAAAAAUUACAAGUUACUCACUGCUGCAUUCGUGUGGGGCGUACGUCCGGAUAGGGCUAAGAAUCGCAGCUCUACAACUCCAGCUGAAAAUAGAGAAAGAGACUGUGAGGAUGACCAUACUACAUGAGUUCGCCGAAAAAUGGGCUAAGGAUGAAGAAAACGAGAGAGAGGAUGUAGAGAUGGAGAAAAGAGGAGGGAGCGGGCAGAGGAUGUCCGGGAGGAAAAGAGGGAAAGAGGAAAAGUGUAGGAAAAAGAAAGGGCAGAAUGAAAUAUCAAAUUUUUUUUAAAAAAAUUAUAUUAAUCUCAGCCCUUGGAUCUUCAGGUUGUAGGAUGUGCACCUCUUAUAGGGUUGUUCCGGUAACACAACUCUUGUAAUAAUCCUAACAUUGCUUAUGGUGUAAAUAACCUUUUUUUUAUUUUUUUUCUUUUUCUUUUACUACUGUACAAUCUUAGCAUUUUUGUUCACACUAUUGGACCAUUCCCGUUCUUGUAAUUAUUAUAACUGUAAGGAUAAAAGUGCAAAAUUCCCCAAUUAAGAUAUGUUCCCUUUUAUUCUCUUCCCCUGUGCGUGUUUCUCGGGAAGGUGCGGUGCGGAGUGCGAGAUCGAAGUGCCCCCGAUCUCGUCGACAUUUCUCCGCGCUUUGAUCUCUAGGGCUCUUCUCCUAAUCCGAUUUCGAAUCAGGUAUGAUCUUUGUGCGAAUUUAGUCUGAUUAUGGGGAAAAUUAUUGUUUAAUUUCGCGAUCGUUGGUAUGUUUUCUUUCGCAAUUUGAGUUGAUUAUGGAGAAGAUCAUAGCGAUCAUAGGUUUGAUUUUAUUUUCUUAGCGAUUUGAGUUGCUUAUGGAGAAAUUUUGGGUUUAGUUUAGUGGCCGUAGCAUGAUCUUUUGAGCAAUUCGAGCAGGUUAUGGAGAAAAUUAGGGUUUGAUUUCGUGAUCAUAGGUAUGAUUUCUUAUGCAAUUUAACUUGGGUAUGGAGAAAAUUAAGGUUUAAUUUUGCGAUCAUGUAGUUGAUUUAGCGUUGCCUUUUAGGUUUAUCAUUUUGAUUUCAUAGAUUUUCAUAAGCUUAGUUGAAUUAUGAUGGAUUUUUGGGGACUUAUUUGGCGUGUUAGGGUCUUCCUUUUUUUAAUGUGUUAUCUUUUCGAUUUUUUUGUUGGAAACGAGAUUAUUUAUUGCCUUUGGUUAAUUGGAUAUUAAAAAUAGGCGCUUUUUGUUAUUUGCUUUGAAUUUUCCAUUUUUAAUGUGAAAUAGAGCUCUUAUGUGAUAUCUUAGAUCUGCUUCUUAAUUUGUUUGAGGAAUUAUGACAUCUGUGUGUGGUUUAUGACACUAAUGCUUAUCUUUUAGCUCAAUACCCUGUCAUUAUGGUGAUGUUGGUUGGUGUAGAAAGAGUUUUACUGUUUGUGAAAAAUGUAACUUUUGCGCGAUCUAAAUUUAAGUCAUUGUCUUUAAUCUAAAUGAUUUGAUUUGCCACUAUAAUUAGGUGAUCUAUUUGUUUGCUAGCUUAUUUAUUAUCAGUUGGCUAGUUGUUCGCUUAUGUUUCUAUAGGUGAAGUAUUUACUUUUGUGCGCUUCUGUUUCUAUAGAUCUCGAGGAUAGAUUGCUUGUCAUUGCCUUCGGUACUACGUUUUAUAGGUUUAAUCUUUUGUUUUUUUCCUAAUUUAUUUGUUGAUCUGAUCAGAUUUAUAUAGAGUUCUGAUACUUGGGUUCUCCUUAUUUCUGUGAUUGUGUUUCUCUUGGGAUCGAUUGAGAAGCCAGGUAGGGAAUGGAAUGAUGGUUCUUGUUAAGAAUUGCAGCUAAUAGUUUGGAAAGAGGACAUUUACAUUAUUGCUGAAGGGAUGAGGAAUAAUUUAGUUCUAGCUUAUAUUUUUGGAAUCCCGCCAUAAAUAAGAACUAAUAAAAGUAUUAUUAAAAAUAAGCUUAGCAUUUUUUCCUCAAAAAAAAAAAAAAAAGCUAAGCAUUUAGAAUGUGGCAGAUUUGAACUAAUGGCCACUAAAAUAAAUCUACGGAAACAUAAUCAAUGUUCAAGAUCCUAUAUAGGAAAAUGAAGAAGGUUGUAUAGCUACUGUCUAAGAAUUUAUGAUCCAAAUUCAAUUAGCGGUGAUAUGUUCAUUUGGGGAAGAAAUGGGAACAGCUAGUAAGUAGCAACUUUUGCAAAGCAAUAAUCCAAGUUCCUUAUACAAUUGUUUAAGAAAACUUAUGCUUCACCGAUAAUUAGUGUUUUAGUCAUGUGAAUUAUAGUGGAAACUUUGUAGCAUUCUUGUUCGUUUAUUACCUUUUCGUCUUUUUGUUUUUAGACUUUUUUAUAUUGGUAUAUUCUCCAGUUCGUCAGGUCUAAUAUCUCGGAUCUAGUGUUGCUGUUAUCAUAGCCAUACAAAGUUAUUUAAUUGUUAAACUACAAAACUAAUUGUUCAUUUGUGUUUCGGAUCCUUACCAACACGGUGACAAAAUUCUCCUGUAUUAUCGGGAAAAAAAAAAAAGAAAAUCUCAUGGAGUGCGAACUUUUACCAGAUGAAUAUUUUUUUUUUUUCUGAAUUCUUCAUCUGUUGAUGGAUGAUGAGAAGAAUCACAAGAACUAUGAACAAUCUAGAGAUUAUUGAAAUCAUCCUAGGAAAUUUUGAUUAUAUGGCGAAAUUAGGUUAUUCUUUAACUAUUUUUAUGCUGAAAAUGAAACAUGAUAAAAUGAUUUGCAUAGAAAAUUCAUUAUUAUAUAAUUUAUUGCCAUAUAUCUGCACUUCAUUCAUUGAAUUACUCUAUAAUUUAUUGCCAUAUAUCUGCACUUCAUUCAUUGAAUUACUCUCCCUCAUAUAUUUUCUUUUCCCUUUCAAACCCAUCGAACUACCAAAAUUUUUUCCGAAUGCUGAACUCGGGAUGUUGAUUACUGAUGUUUGUGAUUUCAUAGAGAAGUAAUAUUACUUUGAUAAUGUUACUGUGCUUUUUCUGCAGCCAUGUCACCUCCAGAUUCAUGGAUCAGAGAGUUCAAUGAGGCUUCAAGGCUUGCUGAUGACAUCAGCGCUAUGAUUGCUGAAAGGGGCUCUUUGCCGCCAUCAGGCCCAGAUACACAACGCCAUAAUUCUGCGAUUAGAAGGAAGAUCACAAUUCUCGGAACUAGACUAGAUAGCUUGGAGUCCCUAUUGUCCAAGCUUCCCACAAAGCAGCCAAUGUAUGUUUUCCUAUCUCACGAUAUUUUUUUUCUCUUCUAAUUACUUGUGCUCCAACUGAUGUCAAGAUGUUGGGAAAGGGCUUGAGAAACAUAUCUACAUUUAGCGCCAUCCUCUUAGUAGAGUUCUAUUCAGCAUCAAACGCUUUCAAUAUUACAGUUGAUGUCCUAUGCUAUGAGAGAGUUUUACAUAUUUGGUCCUUUCCUAAAAUCUUAUAUUGAAAUAGACAUCUAAGCACCAUCAUACAUGUUUAGUGGGCUAAAAGAAAUAGAAGUUAACAGCCUUGCUGUUUGAGUAGGCUUCACAGCCAGUUAUUUUCGCUGGAGUGGAAUAAAGAUAAAUAUCAUGGUUGGGAAUUGUAGCACUUAUGCAGAAGGAUGGGUCUUGUGACACUUUGAAGAGAUUAGGGAUCCGAUGUGACAAUUGGAAGGUUGAGUAACAGUUGAAAUUAGAAUAAAAGGUUGAGGGCCUUGGGGCACACUGGAGCAUUGGCCUUCUUCAUAGUAUUAAUAUUUACUUAUUUCAAUGAGAGAGAUUUGACUGUUAGCUUUCAUAAUAGCAGCUCUAUCUCUUCUAAUAAAAGGAACUAUUAAUUCAACAUUAAUCAUUGUAGUAUCAGGUAAAUGUUCUUUUCCAUAUUUCCCUGUUUCUACCAAAUGCAAAUGAGACUGGGUGGUUAAAACCUACUCGCCGAUAUGGGACUUUCAUCCUCAUUUUUUUUUUUUUUUGGGGUUCUAGCAGCUUCGCUAAGAAAUAACUUAAAAAGGUCUUUCUUCAUUUUUGCAAUUACGUGGCAGAUAUUCUGUGGUCUACUUUCCUAAAUGUCAAAACAUCUGUACAUAUUUAUUUUGACAUGCUAUUAACCUGCAAUUUAUGCAGAAGUGACAAGGAGCUGCAUAAGCGCCAGGAUAUGCUUUCAACUUUGAGAUCUAAAGCAAAACAGAUGGCCUCGACAUUAAACAUGUCAAACUUUGCUAACAGGUGAGGUCAAAACUUCAGAAUAUAUUUUGCAUCAAUCAUCUGUAAUAGUAAUUUUCUGAUAGGGUGUUUCUUUUCCUGUACUCUGCUCAAUAUGUUUUUGGUCUUUUAUUUGUGCUUUAAAUAACUUAGUUGUUUAGUUGUUUAGUAUUAACUAUACUUGGUGAGCAUCUAUAAUUUAAUGCAUUUUAUUAAAACGAAUACCCUUUACAUAUAUACUUUCAAACUCAUCUAUUAACUUGUAUACCCCUGUAAAAUCUGAACUUGCAAUACCCUCAAUGAUAGUGCAAUUCUUGCAAAAUUUAUCUUUAGCUUGGACGACAUCCACUUCAUAGGGCAUGCAUAGUAUGUUCUGCAUUAAGAUUUUUUAAGAUAGGAAAAUUUUUUUUAGUACAAGGUAUAUCGGUAAGAAAUUCAAAUUUUGAAGGGUAUAUGCAAAAAAUGUUAAUAUAUGUGUAUCUAAAUUGAUAACCUUGCAAGAAUUGCUAUAUAUAUAUAUAUAUAUAUAUAUAUAUAUAUAUAUAUAUAUAUAUAUAUAUAUAUAUAUAAUUACCACUAAACAAAAUUUCUGCUGAGUAACCGGAAGGUACCUUUUUCCUUGAAUCUAGGGAUGAUCUCUUUGGGCCGAGUAAAAAAGCAGCUGACGAAAUAAGCAGGGUGCAAGGGUUGGACAAUCGUGGUAUUGUUGGUCUACAGAGGCAGAUAAUGAAAGGUAAUCUAAGUUCCUGCUAGUCCUACUAAAUUUAAGCCUUUUUUCUUCUUUUUUUAAUACUUAAAAAGCUUUUUUUUUCUGACACAGAGCAAGACGAGGGCCUUGAAAAGUUGGAGCAAACUGUAAUUAGCACAAAACAUAUUGCUCUAGCAGUUAAUGAAGAAUUGGACCUUCAUACGAGAUUGAUUGUCAGUAUCACACCAGUCGGCUUGAUCUCGUGAAUCUUAAGUUGCAUUUUGUCUUAACUGCUCUCAUUCUUCUCUUGAUGCAGGAUGACUUGGACCAACAAGUUGAUGUAACAGAUUCACGACUUCAGGUGUUCAAUCUACCUUGUUAUCUAUUGUAUUAUCUAGAUGCAUCUAUUUUAUUGUUAUAAUAGCUGGUGAUCUGGUUUCUGUCGUGGUUCUCUUUGAUGUUUUGUUUUCUUCUUCUUCUUCUUCUUUUCCUUUUGUUUUGCUUUAUUUAUUUCGGAUUCACUUCCUUUCAAAAUCGAUACCAAUGAGGUGUUCAUUAUAAUAAGCAUAUGAAACCAACAUUAUUUUCAAUGACCCUAACACAAACACACACAACAACAACGACAAUUACAACAAUAAUAUUUCGAAGAUCCAUGCGAUCGGUUGCAAUCUAGGUUAUUUAUAACCGCUACAAAUUAAAAAUCAUCCAUUUUGCAUCCACAUGAUGAUGUUUUCUGAUAGUAUUCUAUCAUAUUAGGGUAUGGACAGAAUAUAUAUGGAUAACAAUCCAUUGGAUAUAUUCAUAUUGCUUGAUCAUAGCAUUCCCUUGGAAAAUAAUCUGGAUAUUAUAUUGAAAUAAUCUCGAUUAAUGACUGUUCUGAAAAACCCAGCUUUUGAGUCAUUCCUGCAAUUUUUUACACUAAUAUGUUGUUAAAUGUCACAAACCUAAAACUAUUUUGAAUUGCAGAGGGUGCAAAAGAGACUGGCAGUGCUAAAUAAGCGUACAAAAGGGGGAUGUUCAUGCAUGUGCUUGCUUUUAUGCGUCGUUGCCAUAGUGAUUUUGGCUGUAAUUGCUUGGGCUCUGAUCAAGUACUUGUAACAGUAGCACAAAAAAAAGUGUCUCCGAUUGAUCGGUCUUUGCAAUUACAGUGCUGCUUUCACGUGUCCAGCAUUCCGUCGAAAGUUUUUCUUUCUUUUUUUUUUCGAUUGCCAUUUGGGAAGAAGUGGAACAUUUAUGUGAAGCUGAUUGUGUUUGUAUCAUAAUGUAUCUUGAAUGCAAAAUUACAGCUUGUGCACUGUGUGAUAUAAUGGAAGUUACUACUUGUGUUUUCCUUCUCAUCCACUAUUUGCUUCCUGUAAUAACAAUCCGGUGGUUUAUAUUCCUUGCAUGUCUAAGAUGUCCAUUCCAAUCGAGUUCAAAUUUAUAUUUUCAAAUUGCUCAAAAGGUAGUAAACUUCCCAGUGUGCUUAUGAUAGAUACAUCAUUAAUUAGUUCAAUUAUGCAGUCCUUUUUGUCUACUUGAUACUCCCUUUGGUCAAUAUGUGGUUUGCUUCAUCUUACACUCUGUUUGGCACCAAAUUCGAAAUAGAAUUUAAUGGAAUUCAGAUGAGAAAGAAUUCUCAACUUUGCUUAGAAAUGAAAUUCGUUGUUCAGAUUCGAAACCGUUUUGUAGGGAUAUAUGUACUAGUAAUUGACCCUUAAUUUUCGAAUCAUUUGAUAAAGUAUAGCUAAUAACAAUUGAUUUUUUUUACUAAAUGACUUUAUUUAAUAAGAAUUGGAUGAGAGUCAUUUGUUACUGUGAAAUAUUUUAUUAAAAUCCUCCUGAAAUCAACUGGAUAUAAAUUUAGAAAUUUGCAUGGUUGGAGCAGAGGAUACAUGGCAAUUGUUUAUUUAAAGAAUUAUCGUCUUUGGGAGACUUAAUAAUUUAUUAUCUGGAAACUGCUGGUGGUGUAUAGCAUCUAUUUUGGAGACAUGGAGAGUGGAAUGCUACCUCAAGGGAAAAUUUCCUUUUGAAUGUUUAUUCUAUCUUUAUUAAUAUUUUUAUUAUUUUGUUUCAACCAAACCCCAUAGACUAUCUCACUGGAUUGUUAAUGUGGAAAAAGUUGGGCAAAUGCCUAGAUGAUUUGCUCCACAGUUAAAAGCAUGACAUAAACUUUUUUAGAGCUCUUUUUCCGCUUGUUCGUUGUUGUGAGAAAAGAACUACUUUGAUUCUCAGCAUUUGUUAGAGCGCAGGGAGUUUGUGAUUCUGUUGUUUCCAGCGAAGUACUCAAAACUUUUGACUCGGAUUGCUCUCUGUUCUCAGUCAAGUUGCAGUUCUCUUUUUGGGUCAAAUAUUUGGCAAGUAGAACUUCUGAUUCACCAAGUCUCAGCUCAAAACAAAUAGCAAGGAUGCUUUUCUAAGUCCUAAGAAGCCAAAAUAAUGAGAUUAAUAAUAAGCUGCAAACCUGUGUUUAUGCGUCGAUUCGAAUAAACUCAACGAGAGGAGAUCGACCGAAUCAUCGUUCGGAAGUGAGGGGUAAUAUCUCACAGAAAUAAUCUACAAACUUAAAGAAAAGAUUCAGUCAAAACAUAUUGUCGGAUGAACAUACUAUAUCGCUUGAAGAUUUCAUUUGAUGAUCGCUUUGUCUACAGUUUGAGUAUGUGCGUGCCUCACCGAACUUUACAUUCAAAAGAAUAUUCGUGACCCUUACGAGAGGAGGAAAAACAAAACAAGAAAGGAAAAAACUAUUUACUGGUACUCGACGACGAUCAUCGCAGUGAGCAACGAGAAAGAAUUACUUUGGAUAGAGGAUGUCAUAAUGGCCGGGCCUGAACAGCAAGACGACAACGGGCGUACGUGGAAGUGAAGAAGAGCUACUGCUUGCGCUACCGCUUGAGCUGCUGCCAUCUAUCAAAGAGCUCAAAUCCGAGAACUUGUCUUCGUACUUGACGGGGAUGAAGUCGUGGUGAGUCAAUCCGAAUCCACCCCCGGGUCUUGUGGACGAGUCUAGAUACACCACGCGUAUGGGGAUGCAGAAUGCAUUGGAGAGCGCUACGACUUGCAUGUGAUCGGCGUACACGCCCAAGGGAAGGACUUCAUUCUCACAGAACUGCCAGCGAAACCAGGAAAAUUACAGAAUUAGCAUAUAAAUCAAAAUAUAAAAGGGAUGCACAUAAUCAAUGCCACUUUCAUCGGCUUGAUGGUUUGGCUGAAUAAAAAAGAAGGGUUAAUUCCAAAUUUUGUCUCUGAAGUUCAACAAUGAUUAUUGUUUCGUUCUCAGAGUUUGAACCCUAAAAACUCGCCCCACAAGUUGCACUCUUGGCCACAGAGUUUCAAGUGUAAGCUAAACUUUAAUUGGCAUCGUGAUCUCUUCAGAUGGUAGACUAACAGAACGUAAUUGCAAUACAAACACAAAUACGGGAUACGAAUACAACAUGAUACAGAUAUGGCGACACAACGAAUGGUGAAAAUCUUAGGAUACCAUACAUUGGGGAUGAGGUAAUAAAAAAAAUAUUUUUAAUCAUAUAUAUUAUUAUUAUAUAUGACAAUAUAUGUUAAAACAAGUGUAGAAUGUUUCAGAUGAUUAGUUAAUGUAAAGCAAUAAACUGCUAACUUGUUGAAAGAUAAAAACAGAGUCAACUUUUUCUGACUAAGAAACAAAAUUAUAGUCAGCCUUUUCUGAUCAAGAAACAAAAUAAAUCAGACAAAAAAUGAUAAUCUUUAGUUUUUAUCGACCACAAAUUUGUGGUGCAAGUAUAUCAUCCAACUGCAAAAUAGCUCUCCCCCGUAUUUCACAAGUAACCUUCGCGCAUGAUGUGCAUCCAUCAAGUAUUUGGUAUUUUUCUGAAUUUUCAAACUUAUCGGAUGCUCUUGUGAAGUAUUCGACACGUAUCGGGCAUGUACCGCACGGAGUAUCGGUAUCCGAUGUGAUACGGAAGGCUCUUGUGCAUCAUAGGAUUUAACUGUUAUGCUUCAGGUACUUAAUUACUAAAACAAUGAGGUCAGAAUAGAAAUUGGAAACAAAGUUUAACUUUCAACUCAAAAGAGACUCACAGAAAUGUUCAGCUAAAAGUUAUAAGAAGAGUGUUAUAUCCAGAAGCGGCCGUCGAUUUGAACUCAUGCUCAUGUUUACAACUAGAUAAUGAGCAUCAUCUUUUCCUUGGGCAAAACGAAGUUAAAUCGUGUAGUAGUAUUACUGACCUCCUUAAUAGAUUUCUGGUUUGUGUCAUCAACAAUAAAUGGACUGAAGUGCUCUUCUCGCAUGCGCAUAUCGACAGAAGUGACCAAUCUAAGGAAACUCAAAACUGACCAGAAAAAAAAAGGGCCCAUGCCAAAAUAAGAACUGGCAAAAAUAAUAAGCAAUGUCUUUAAAACAUUGCAGUGUGCUUCUUACCUUUGUCUGAUUUAUACUCAUCAAGAUUUUCCUGCAGUAGCUUUGUCAAGCUGCAGUAUAAGAGAUCAAAGCAUUUCCAUGACAAGGUGCAGAAAACAAAAAAGACUAUUUGAAGUUAAAAACAAAAGGGAAUAUAAUACACACCUUAGACCGGCUCGUCUCUCUUCUAAAAUAUUUAUGACUUCAUUGCGAAAGUCCUGAAAGAAAAUUUUGACAAUUAUUAGUAAAAAAAUGAAACAGAGUAGGACACCUUAAGUUGAUUUUACAGUUAAUUGAAUCUAGUGAUUCAAAAAAAAAAAUGUGGAACUUGUGCACAAUUUGUGAUAAUCGCACCACCAUCUAGUUAAGGAAACAGCUGAUAGAAUAGUUAUUCCUUAUAAUUUAAAUUCAAUCAUUGUUUUUUUUUUUUUUUGCACACAAAGAUAUUCAGGCCAAUAAUUCAGAUAGUUUUUUUUUUUCAGAAAAAGCAUUUUUAAAUCAAGACCUCUUGCAUCUUUCCAAAAAUAAAAGGAAAAAACAGAUGCGUUCUAGGCAUAUAGACAGUUAAUACUUCAUGAACACUUAUUAUGAAUUUCAAAAGUUUUUUAAAACAAUAUUCUACAGGCAAAUGGAGUUAAGCUUUUGGCAAACAAAAUUCUAGAACUUCAAAUAGAAUGAAAUGUCAAAAUGAGCUUUACAUCCAAAAUUUAUAGCUACACCCUGGUGCUUCGAUUUUCAGAUUGUCAAGGCUCCAUUGUUUUAUUCAAACAGUUCCUUUAAAUGAUUCAAAUGGUUAUAUGAUGGUAAUCUGUGACAGGACAAACCAUUAAAGUUAGCCCUCAGAUUCACUUGCUUUCGUUUGUUUCUUGGCCUCAAUAGGUGAAAUAUAGGGAAUACUGUGUCUAGAAAAAGCUGUGUCCAAUGUACUUAAAAUUUCCAUGCUGAAAAUAUCGUCAAAAUGAUCAGAACCGCGGAGUGAAAAUAAAUGGCGUAAGAUCGAGGAACUCUUCAAAGAAAAAGAUUGUGGAAAGAGACUUUGACAAUGGUAAGAAUGUAAGCGUAAGAUCAAGGAACUCUCUUCAAAAGAUUGCAGAAAAAGACUUAAACAAGGGUAGAAGUGGCUGACGGACUCAAGAGAGUGGUCCAAAAGCAAAAAGCAAACACCCAGAUAAUGCUAAUUCAAAUUACUUCAGAUUUAAGAACCUCUCAGACUUCAGAUUGAUGCUAAAUAACUCCGUAAGCAAACAUCACUCAUGCUACCAUAUUGGCAUUGAUUUAGAGCAUGAUAAAAAUGCACGCGUUUGCAGAAAUAACUUACCGAGAAACAAUCGUCAAAUCUGUCUUCAUCCUCUCCAAAGGUAAGAUAGCCCUUUUUCAAUUCUUCAAGACGCUCAAAAAUGCGAAAGACCUCACGUUCAUCUUGCGAUUCAGCAAUCUGCUCCUGUUUACAUAUCUCAAAAUCCCAUCUCUAAAUUCGGAAGCCUUCCAAAGAAAGGCUUAGAUUCUAUUGUAAAGCAGAAGCCACCGAACAGAAAAGGCAAUUCAUUCUCCUGACCAGGUAAGAAAUGAUGAAACUCCGGUAGAAACAAUUGCCAUCUCCACAUACUCGUCUGAAGGAAGAGAACGCAUGAUUGAGCAUCUGUUUUGGAUCGAUGAGUUAGUUGUCGACACAUUUUGUAGCUGAAAUCCAGUAACUAAUUAAGGAAAAACUACUUGUGAUGGGAGAGAGAUAGAGAGAAGGUCAGUCAUAACGAACCUUGAUCUUUUCCUGUAUGACUAAAUUGUCAGCUGGGAAAUCAGCAGCUAAAGCUAAUAUAGGUUCCUGCGACACGAAAAUUCUCCCACAUUCACAUAGGCAUCUAAAAUAUUGAUGGUUGCUAUUUUCUCCAUAGCCCAAUCAUGUGAUGAAUUAAGCAACAUUUAAUAAAUAAAGUUUCAUAGUUGCACAAGCAUGAAGAAUGGAGGUAAGGAUGUUGAGUUUGCAAGAAAAAUUAAUUUUUUUUUUAAAUUUUUUUUGUCUCAUUUCAUGUUUCAGAGCAUAUAUGAGCCUGUCGGAUAAAGCAUAGCUGACGAUGCAUACGAAAGCAAGGCAUAUCUAAUAAUUCGAUAUGCCUGAACCAUGAAGAAGCUUGUAAAGACUUUAUUAAGAAAGACAAUACAGUGAUGUUCCAAUAAACGAGUUUCCAAGACAAGUGCACAAAAGUUUAAAAGGUUAAGAUGCAUACAGCAUUAAUUUUUGUUUCAUUUCGUAAUUCAUAGUGUACAUGCAGCUGCAGCAUAAGUCAUAGCUGACGAUGUUUACUGCAGCAAAAUAUGUGUAAGAAAUUUUCAGAAUGCUUAAACAACGAACAUGCUUUCAAAGACUCUUAGCAUGAGAGAAAUUCUGGUCCAGCUCCGAUAAACGUUUAAUCAAAUCUAUAACUAGAAAUCAGGAAACCCGUUUUUCUUUUUUAUUUCUAUGUUUUUCAAAUCAUCUUCAGCUAUACUAAAGUGAACAGCUAAUGAUUAAUUUUCUGUUUUGAGUCACAUUCCCGGAUCAGACUCUGACUAAUGCAUACGAUGAUAAAAUACAUCAAAAUAUCAUACAAAAGGACAAACCAGAUUAUUAUUUGAAUUGAAAACAGAGCAUUGAGCUAUUUGAAUCAUAAUAAAUUGUGAAGAUUAACACUCCGUUUGGCAUCAAAUUUAAAUAGAAUUCAAUGGAACUCAGACAAGAAGAUUUCAAUUGAAUUCACUUAGAAAUGAAGUUCUUAUCUGGAUUUUUUGCUUGGUAAAAAGUGAGAAAUUGUUUCAAUAUGAUUAUGUUUUCCACUCUAUCCUCAAUCACCAGGUAAGAAGAUAUUAUGACGAAUUCGAGAAAGGGUAUUUGGGGUUAUUGGUACAAAGUCUUUAUUUGUAUUAUGAGAAAUCCCAUCAAAUCCUUCCGAACGAAUUGAAUUCCCAUUAACUUAUAGCACCAAACAACAUAUUUACAAAAACUAUAGUUCCAACAAAAUUUUAAUUUUACUAUCCAACCUUUCACUUCGUCCGAUUUGAGUCGGUUAAUGAUACUUUAACAUCAAAAUUUGAAUACAUCGUUUAUCUUUACCGAUUCGAUUAGUAUACUUUAUACAAUUCUCGCAACUAUAAAUUCAUUAAAGCAGGCAUAUAAAUUGAGAGAUUGAAUAUCAAAAUAAAAAAUUUAAUCCAUAGUUCACCGCCAACAAUUGCGACGAAAUAUAUCUCACAAUGGGAAAUUUAAACAAGAAACAAGAAGCUCCACAUCGAAGCAUCAAAAUUUUUUAGGGUUGUGAAACUCAAUCAAGAACGAUUCGAAGAAAUAGUUAAGGAUCGAGAGAGACGAAUCCGAACCUUUUCCGCAAGGAGGGACUUAUCCUCCACCUCCUCCGCCGCGAGGAGCAGCUGCUGCCUCCUCACCUCGGCGUUCCAGUCCGCCGCGGAGAGCAUCGGCAGCGGAAACCGCGGCAAGAACAGGUUCGGCGGGUACGCGAACUUGGGAGUCGGAUUCGCCAAGAGGGGGCUCGACGCCGCCUCCGCCGCAGCAUCGCCGCCCCCGCCGCCGACGACGAAGGAGGAGGGCUUCGGGGGGUAGGCGAAGUCGAGGGUCGGGACCGGCGCCGGCGCCGGCGCCGGCGCCGUUGGCGGGGCUGCGCCGGCGCGGGGGAGGCGGUGGGGGCGGAGGAAGGUGCUCGCGCCGCCCCGGAGCAGGCGCGGGGCCUCGGCGCGGAUGCGAUCGUAGUCGGCGAGGGGGAGCGGGGGCGAGCCCUCGCGGAGGACGAACGCGGGGAGGAGGCGGGGCGGAGAACUAUCAUAACGUGGGGAGGAGAGCGAGUUGUCGCGAGAGGGAGAGUCGGCGACGGGUGGGGCUUCGGCGACGACUUCUGAAACCGGCGUCUCCUCUUUUUCGUCGCCGGGUUUCCUGGUCUUGGUCUCCUCCUCGCUCGCUUCGGCGGGCGUCGGCGCCGACUUCUUCCCUACGCGGAAAGUGAUCCGCUUCUUCAAAGGCUGGACCAUCCCCCUCUCUCUCUCUCUCUCUCUCUCUCUCGCAUAAAAAAGAAAAAGGGGGAAAAUUGGGGUCGUAUUAAGUUUUCAUGAGAGGAUAUUUUUUUCAUUAUUAUUUUAUUAUUAUUAUUAUUAUUAUUAUUAUGGAAUAAUCACGAACUUUUCCAAAAAGAUUUUAAUUGGCCAAAUAAUAAUUUUUAUGAAAUGUUAUUUGGACUACCAUGUUAUUCAAAAUUGAAAAAAAAAAAUUUUUUUUAUGAAAAAUAUCUUUUUGAUUUUUUUUUUACAUUUUCUCGAGAAACUAAACAGCACCUAAGAUUUACUCUACAAAAUAAAACAAACCACUAAUCCUUGUAUAUCAUAACUAUGUGUAAAUAUUAUAUUUUUAUCAUAAAAUAACCAACUCUUCGCAUAUGUUUUAUCACUAUAUUUUUUUGAAAGAUAAUAUUUAAUAUAUCUUUCCAAACUUCAAAAAUAUCAAAUAUACUCCUGAUUGACCAAAAUAUCCUCAUCGUUUUCCAAAAACCUCUUCAAGUACCCCAAAACUCUAGGGUUUAUAAAUGAAAUUUGGGGUUUAGAAGGGUAUUUUGAUAAUAGAAGGGUAAAUUUAAAAAUUUUGAAUAAUAAUGAGAUGUUUAUAAGCAAAAAAAUCUUUUUUUUAACACUAAUAACUUAGAAGAAAUUGUUUAAAUUCUUGAAUGGAUAAAUUGUAAGAUAUACACUCAAAAUUUGGAUGUUGAAGAAGCAUAAGUAAAUAGUUAAUUUUCUUUUAGUUUGGGGUUUAGAAGGGUAUUUUGAUAAUAGAAGGGUAAAUUUAAAAAUUUUGAAUAAUAAUGAGAUGGUACUCCACAAAAAAAUCUUUUUUUUAACACUAAUAACUUAGAAGAAAUUGUUUAAAUUCUUGAAUGGAUAAAUUGUAAGAUAUACACUCAAAAUUUGGAUGUUGAAGAAGCAUAAGUAAAUAGUUAAUUUUCUUUUAGUUUUGGUUUUUUAUUUUAUUUUAUUUUUUUUUGUGGAGUACUAGUAAGGAUGAAAACGGUCAAAUAUGGUCGGAUUUUUGACAAAACUAAAUCUGCAUCAACAUUUUUUCGGAUAUGAAUUCGUAUGGCGAUAUGUGUCGAAUGCAAAAUUUUCAAUACCAUAUUAGCUAAAAAGUAUUUGGAUUCGGAAAUAGAUCGGAUUUGUAAUCCGAUAUUAUUCCGAUAAUAAUAUAUAUUAACAUGUAUAUAUUAAUAUAAACUAAAGUUAGUGCGAAUAAGACACACAAUACAACUAAAAUUGCACAUUUGUAUUAAAACUUCUUAUGCCUAUAUUUUAUGUAGUGUUUCGGAGGUUUGGAUAGAAUUGACUACAGUAUUAGUGACUGGUCGACACAUCUGGUGAGUGUCGGACUGAGUCGGAGUUGUUUCUCCACGAAAUGGAUGCAAAAAUAGACUUGGCGCACUCAAAGGAGCAAAACUGGAGUUUUACUCCUUUCGGGCUCCAAGAACAGGGUUUGGGUCGCUCAGAACUUGAGUGCUGAACUGAGCAGAAUUGGAAGCCAAUUCGGAUCCUAGUUUCGGGCGCCCAGAAGAGGGUCCGAAAGUUUACUUCGUGAAUAUCGUUUGCGCUGACACGUGGCUGGUGGUAGGUGAGGUCCACCGGAUCAGGAUAUGGGCACAGCACACCGCGGGCGGAGGAACCGAAGGGGAGCAAUUAUGUAGCCUGGAGGUUUCGAACGCCCAGAAAGGAGUUUUGGGCGCCCGAAAGUGGCCGUUUCUGUAGGAUUAUCAGGUUAGCAACUUUUGUUCCUGUGACUUAUUUGACCAUUCUAACUCCCUAUAAAUAGAUGGAACUCGACCCUGUGAGCUCUUUUCCUCCCUUGUUCACAGUGAACCCUUAUCUUGCAUUUCAAUCCCUCUAAACUUCCCAAAUUACUCCAUUUCCACAAUUUGAAGCUAAAGGACUGCAGUUUCAGCAGAAUUGCAGCAACGACCUUCGGCGUUUUGGCUCGUAUGCGACGUAGGAGGUUCCGUUUGCCACGAAAUUUGAUUUGUUGGUUAGAAUACUUCAUGAAGAUUUCGUGGAACCCUGUUUGACAGAAAUUGAUUGAGAUUUGUAUAGUCAAUUUCGUGUUUUUCUGAGCUGCUAGUGUUUUGGUCCCGAAAUUGAAUUUUCUUUAUUUGUUUAUAGGCCAAUUCUCGGAAAGAGCUGGAUUUUCGAUUAGAAGAAGUUGCUCCACUUUUCCCUACUGGUUUUAUGAAUGUUCUUCACCAGAAUUGUUGAUUUAGGGAUUGAUAGGUGAGUUUUGACAUUGUAGUUGGUGGAUUUAAGCUUAAGUGCUGAAAUUUGAGGGUUUUGAUGCAAUUUUGAUAUUUUUGUAUUUAGAUCUUUGGAGGAUGUUGAGUUUUGGACUUGAAGGUGAUACUCCAUCAUAGUUCACUGGUGUUGGGACCUUUUCUCACCUAAUUUGGAGAUCAGAAGGUGAAAUCGAUAUUGAGAUUGAUGUGAAUUUAAGCUUUAGUGCUGAAUUUUGGAUUAUUGAUGGAUUUUGUUGUUUAAAUCCUUAGAGAGGCUUGGUGCUGGUUGUGGCUUAGCUUGGCAGGGAUAUCUGCGACUCCUCGCUGCCGUGGAUUAGCGCUAGAGGUGGGAUAAUGUUAUGCUUACCGUAUAUCGUGGAAUUCCUCCUAAGUCUAGUUGUUGUCGACGUGUAUUUCUUGUUUUGAAUAACAUGUUUAGUAGCUCGAGUCAUUGAUUUGUUGCAUUCUAAAAUCUGAAUUGGAGCUUAGAAUAUUAGUUAAAUAAUACAUGUUGGAUUUGGAUUUGACUUAGGAGAAAACUGACGUUUCUACACUGUCAUAUGUUAAAACUACCAGAUUUAGCUCUAGGAGCCGUAGUUGUUUAUAUCACCGCAGUUUGUAGGCAGUGGAUACCCAGAAUAGUGUAGAGUGUUUUUACACUCGUGCUGGGAUGCCGAGCUUAUUUUUAUAGCAGUGUUUAGACUGUUCCGGACUGUCGGGUACCGUUGGGGUUGACGGUGGACCCAGAUUACUGUCUUUGCAUCAGAUUGUGCCAAGGGCACGUGAGUUUGGUUGUUAGACCAGUUAGAUCCUGUUUACUUGACUAUAGCCUGUGAGAGCCUGAUUGAGCUUGACAGAGAUACGCUUGCAUAUUCGGUUGGGUAGCGCCCACGAGUGCCACUCCGGAGUCGGACUUUGUGCGUUUGCGUUGGUGUCGUUGUGUCCUGGUUGGACUUGUUCUCCACAGACGGCUGAGCGUGGAGGCAGCUGUAUAGCUUCGACAGGCAGGACGGGUGUAUUCACAGUUUUUGGGACGGGUGUAUUCACAGUCCUUAGUGAGAUUGGGUCAGAGACUGAAUUAUUCUACAGAUAGUAGUGUUGGAUCAUGAUAGUAUAGUGGCAUGUAACUGUAGAUUAUUUUCAGUUCCUUUACUGUCAUUGAGCAUAUCAUCUGUAGACUUAAUGGGUGAGCCGUUGAGGUCGGUUGCGGUACCCACUGAGGACUACUUCUUUUUACAGUAGUUCACACGCCCAGUUGUGGAUCUUUUGUAUAGCCUUCGGUUGCGGCUGCUGCUACUGUUGAUACUGAUCAUGGAAAGGGUGUUGCGAGUUAGAGCCCUUCUUGACGAGUCACUGAGCUAGAGGAGUACCAGCUUCAGGUAGUUGUAGUUUUUGGUUCUUUACAUACUUAUAUUGUACCUUACUGGAGCGAGUAUUUGUACCCGGAUACUAUGUAUGUAUUAAACCACUGUUAUGAUAUAUGUUUUAUUUUUUUCUAGCUACUCUAUACUACUAGUUGUAGUGUUGUAUGAUUACAGAUACAGCUUCGCUUAGUAUACAGAAAAAAUUUCUUUAUAUACGGCAGAUUUGUCGGCGUGCGCGUAAAAACGAGUAAUCCGGGACGUGAUAUUUUAUUCAAUAAAAUUUAAUAUUUAAUAUACAAAAAUUCAAUUUUAACAUAUAACUCAUGAUUAAAAAAUAAAAUAAAAAAUCACUUUAUCCUGGUAUUAACACCCUCGUCUUCUAGGGCUGAAAACCCUGGAAUACAAUUGGGUUUCUUAAAAAAAUAUAUUUGCAUCAAUACUUUUUUAAAAUUAUUUUAUACAUUGAAUGCUAAAUUUUGAUCUCCAUAUUUAUAUUCUAUCGUAUAAGGUGUUGAAUUCGAUUCGAGUUUAUCCUUUCCACUUUCACUCUUAGAUAAAUUGAUCAAUGUCUUAGUGAUGCCAAACAAAUUAGAUAAAAUUUUAAAAAAUAAUUUUUUCCUAUUUAAUCAAAAUAUUUCAGAUAAUUUAAGGAGAAUCACAAUGAAGCCCGACUUUAGAGAUAAAGAAAAAAAAAUCUUAGUAUAACGAGAAAAAUAAUUUAAAAAUAAAAGGACCUAAUCCUAUUCGGGUAUUCUCUCCAUCUAGUCUUCGAACUAAAACUCAAAAAAAAUAAAUAUUAAAAAUGUUGGAUAAAAUUAAUUAAACACUCAAAAAUCAAUCGUCGCAAAAAUCACAUAGAUUUUUACAUACCUUUUUAUAGUGCGGAAUCAAUGCUGUGAUUACUAGGAUCUGAUCUCGUCUUGUUUUACGAACUCGUUGAUCCGCCAACGUCCUGUCUCAAUUUGUUGCACGUUGUUCUUACUCGUUGCAAUCCGGCUACUAGAGUCGAUCGCCGCACACCGCCCAAAUCCCUAGGGUUUAUGAUGGUGCCCUAGAGCGAACCCAAGAGAGAGAAUUUUGGUAGAGAGAUGAUUCUUAUUUUUUUUAUUAUCUUGUAUGUGGUCAAUACCUCAUGUAUUUAUAGGCCAUAAGGGAGACGUUAAUCCUAAUCAUACUCCGACUAAAUCUCACAUAGAUAAAGAUUUAAACAGAUUAGAAUUUAUCUGUUAGAUUUAUUCUUUAUCCCAAGUGGAUUAGGAAUAUAACAGAUAAUUAUAAAUAUUUAUUUUUUAUCCCAUAUGGAUUAGAAAUAUUUUAGAUAAGUUCCAAUGUGGACGAAUCCUAACAAAAAAAAAAUCCUACAAAUAUUCACUAUAACUGCUAUAUAUAUAUAUAUAUAUAUAUAUAUAGUUUCAAUAUAUUUGUGAUUUUUUAGCUGUAAGAUCGCCUCAAAAUCCAAACAGUGCUAAUGUGUGUAUAUAUUUAUACACCACUUAAAAAUAUUUAGAGUAAUUUAAUAAAAGUAGCAAUAAUAACUAUUUAUCUUAGAUUGAAGCAUGGAUCGUGAUCAUCAUGAUGAUCAGGAGCCUUCGACUUCGGCCGGCAGGACUCCCCGACGAUCGGCGGAGCGCUCUUGCUGGCUGUUACUGCACCACUGCCGACUGACAAACAAUCCGAGUGCCAACGGCAGCGGCGGCAACACUUGUUGGAGGGCGAAUAUAUAAAUAAACUACAACAAAUAUAUUUAACACUGGAAUACCAAACUUUAUUAAUAUAACUAAACUUCAGUACACUAUUACUGGAUAAUACAAUUUGAUCCACACUUCACAACUCUAAACAAACAAAUUACAUGCCCUCUAUUUAUAGAGCAUGAAAGGAUACAACUAUUCACGAAACGACUCAACUCUUCACCAAACAACACAACCUUUCACUAAAGGACAUGACCAUAAACCAAAAGACGCAACCUUUACAAAAGAACACACCCUUUCAUAAGAAACACAACUCUUCAAAUAAAAAAUAAACAAAUAAAACAAGCUUAUAAACUAACAUUCCCCCUUAAGCUUGUUUAUGCAAAACUGUCGACAUAUUUUUCGAUCGGGUCUUCAUAAUCUUGGAGCCUUUCCUGUAAGACUAUCUUGUCUGAAAUCAAACUCCUAAUUUUAGAGGCCUGCUCAUUGAUUACAUUCUCCAGGGAUUUAUUCUCCAAAUUCACUGCCAUAUUUUCUUUUUCCAAAUUUUUUGCAAGUUUCUCUAAAUACAAAUUUCUUUGAUCAAGAGAAACCAUACCUGUGGUACUCAUAAAGCAAAGUGAGCCACAUUUUGUUCCGCAUCCUUCUUUGAUCUUUUUACAUCGCCCAUAUAAGUGGAAUUUCCGAAUUCGACAAAUGAAUAAAAUUCUGGAAUGUGAAUAGGUCCUUCUUGAUAAGUGCGAUAUUGUGGCAGUAGCAUCUUCAUUUUCUGACAGUAUUCUUGAAGUAGAUUUUUGUAGGACACUCUUACUAUCACUUUAUUCUCCAUGUUUCACUUUCCUUUAAUGUUAAGUUGCUUUAAAAAAAAAAAAUCAACUAUUCAUUCACUAUUUAUAGGCAUGAAAAACUUUCAAAAAACAAAAUGACACAUCUCUUUGAAGUGUCCCAAUUCAAGAGACACAACCUUUUAAUUUGAAAUAUUCUUUUUUAAACAAAGAGACAUGUCUUUUCAAAAAAUAGUUAUGUUAACUACUUUAUGCAUUGGUCAACAAGUCCACACCAUAUUGCUUUUUAAAGUGAUUGUUGCUAGCAAUUGGCUUAGUUGCCGGCAUCGUAAUCUCCUUUGAUGGUCCUUCACUAUCGAAUGCACCUCUGUCUAUUAACUGUUUUUGGUUUUUUUUUUUGUUUUUGAUCCAUUGAAAACCGAAUCCAACAACAGCACGUCAUCUGACAUUUUCAGUAUAUUCUCUGGCCCUGUUCGAUUUGUAAUUUCAGGGUUUUCAUCACUCAAGCAUGGUUGCUGACCCUUAGGAGCACAGUUAUUUUUUUCUUCCCUAUCUGUUCUUCUUUUUUGUCUCACUAUUUUCUGGAGCUUCCUGCUUGGCUCCAACUCAACGUCUGCAUCAUUACAAGGGAUAAUAUUUUUCAGUCUUUUCCUUCCCAACGAAGUUACCACUGUUUGUAUACUUCUAACAUUUUCAGCUAAAGAUGAUUGAAUUUCCUUCUUUUCCUCCCUCACUUUGUGCAACAACUCCCUUUGCUCCUGCAGCUUUUUCCUUUGAAUAUUAAGCAAUUCAAUGGAGCUUUUGAUUUCAGAUAAUUCUCUCUCCCUCUGUUCGCGAUCAAGAGCAAUCUGCUUUCUCUCACUAGCGAGCAUCUCCAACUGCGAUGCUAUAUGUUCUAGCUGCAUUUUAAUCAUAUCCUUUUGGGAAGUUAUAUACUGAAGUUCUUUAGCUUUCUUUUGCUCAAAUUCUUCCUCUUUAUCUCUUAAAGAAGUCUCAAUUUCCGCCGCUCUUUGAUUAAUAUUUCUUUCCUUUGAAUUUCAAUAUCCCUUUUAAAUUCUUCUCUUUCUUGUUGAAUCUUAUUCAACCAAUUUGCUUGUUCAUUCUGCAAGUUAGUCAUAAAUUCUUCACCAUUUUUUGAUGUAAACAUAAUUUUUCUGUUUUCUUUAACAGGUACUUUGGAUGAAUCAUCAAACUUCACAUUGCCAUCAACAUUUUCAUCCAUUUCAACAAAUAGUUCUCUACUUCCACACAUAUGAUUUGAAGCACCAGAAUCCAGAAACCAUAUAUAUUCUGGAUCUUUAACUUCAGCUUGACAUGCAAGUAACAAUGAUGUUUCUGCAACUUCAUCUUCUAUUGUACUGUCGAUGUAGUGAUUUACUCCUUCAGUGUCCUUAUACCAGCAAUCUUUGCUGUAGUGACCAUAUUUUUUACAAUUAUAGCAUUGUAUAUUUGAUUUUGCACCACCAUAAGACCCUGGGCAAUUGUUAUUUCGUCCGCCUCUUUUUGGUCCAUAUUCAUGUGGUGAAUAGCGACCACUGUUGUUGCUAUUCUGUCGGUCAUUGUGAUAUCUCUUUUGAUUCUUAUAUCUAUUAUAAUUAUUUUCUCCAUGAUUUUUGCCUUUUCUAUUAUCAAGUUUCAAUUUUGACUUGAGAGCCUGCUCAGUCGACUCUUCUUCAGACAUCUUUUGUAGUCUUUGCUCAUGCACUUGGAGCGAUCCUGUCAAUUGGUCGAUAGAAAGAGUACUGAUAUCUUUUGACUCUUCUAUGGCGACAACAAUAUGCUCAAACUUUGAUGUGAGGGAACGAAGAACCUUUUCUACAACUCGUUCAUCAUUUAGUUCUUCUCCAUUUCGCUUCAUUUGGUUGGCAAUUACCAAAAUGCGAGAAACAUAGUCCGCGACACUUUUGGACUCCUUCAUUCGGAUUGCUUCGAAUUCCGCUCGAAGCUUUUGUAGACGAAUCCGCUUUACUUUGUCAUCUCCUGUAAAGACGGUGGCAAGAAUAUCCCAUGCUGCUUUGCUCGAAGUUGCUUCGGCAAUUUUCUCAAACGUCGACUCGUCUACUGCUUGGUAAAGAUAGAAGAGCGCCUUUUUAUCCUUCUUUCUUAAAUCCUUCAAAUCGUUUCGUCGUGCUAUAAUUAAUGCAGCUUCUUCUUGCUCUGUGUAUUCCUGGUAUCCAGUUUUAACUAAUUCCCAAAGGUCUAGAGAACCGAGAAGUGCUUUCAUUUGAAUACACCAAUUCUCAUAAUUAUUUUUUACUAAUUUUGGGAUUUGAGUUUGGAGAAGUUGUGUGGCCAUUUUUUUUUAACAGAGUUUCGUUCUGGCUCUGAUACCAAUUGUUGGAGGGCGAAUAUAUAAAAUAAACUACAACAAAUAUAUUUAACACUGGAAUACCAAACUUUAUUAAUAUAACUAAACUUCAGUACACUAUUACUGAAUAAUACAAUUUGAUCCACACUUCACAACUCUAAACAAACAAAUUACAUGCCCUCUAUUUAUAGAGCAUGAAAGGAUACAACUCUUCACGAAACGACCCAACUCUUCACCAAACAACACAACCUUUCACUAAAGGACAUGACCCUAAACCAAAAGACGCAACCCUUACAAAAGGACACACCUUUUCAUAAGAAACACAACUCUUCAAAUAAAAAAUAAACAAAUAAAACAAGCUUAUAAACUAACAGCACUGCUGCCAUCCGCUUCAACCUCAUUUUCGUCGAGAAAUGCCGUCGCCGCGGCAAUAGCAUCACGGAGUUCGCGUUCCCAGUAGAGACGAAGAGCUUCUGCCGGCAUGCCUACGAGUUCCUGAUGCCGCUGACGGCCGCCAGAGCCGUUGGGGAGAUGCUGGCGGAGGUCUGCCUCGACGACGAGUCGCGUGAGCAGUUUGGAGAAGCGAUUGUGGAGUACGUGCAGGCGGAGAAGGUGGCGGAGCAGGCGGUGGUGGUCUUGAGGGGGAGCAGCCUGGCGGUUGUCGAGGCGGCGAUGGAAGUGGUCACGAUUGUGUACGACGACGACAACGACAGCGACAGCGACAACGAUGACGACGAUUAUGAAAAAGAAAAUCAAACAGUAUCUACAAGCACGAGCGAAGAACAAAAAUAAUUGUUUGAGAUGAAGCUCCAUUAAGGGUCGGAGAACGAGCGAAUGCAUGCUCAAGAGAGGUGAGUUAGAAUACUAUCAGUAGCAUCAGAUUCUCUUGCUACAGAUUUAUGUUUAAUGAUAAAAUUUUCGAAUUAAUGAUCAGCAAUAUUAAAUAUGAUUUAGGCUAUUUAAAGUAUCUAUAUAGAAAUUAAAUUUCAAAAUUUUAACAUCUUUGACAUAAGGAUCAAAGAGUCGCAAAAUUUGUAAUUUUUAUGGUCGAUCAAUACGAGAUAUUUUCUUGCUUAAUAUUGGUGUGAAAAAAUUCAAGUCAAUUGAAUUUUUAUUAGAAACUUCUUUAUACUAUUUUUUUAAAAAAAUCUUAUCACUAUUUUUUGAAAAAUAUUUAUUUUUAGCUAUUCAUUUUGUGCCUGUUUAGUGCACAAGAGAAAAAUAUUUAAAAAAUAUAAAUUUUCAUUUCUAAAUAUUUUAAGUGGUCUAGACCAUAUUAGGUAUUGCUGAUCAUCGAUUCGGAGACUUUAUUUUUUAUUAAACUCGUUUGCUGUAAUUAUUUUGUAUAGGUUGAGAAUUUUUCUUUUUUUUUUUUAAGGUUAUUUUUUAUAUUUGUUUUUGUUUUUGAAAGGUUGGGUGUCCCGGAGGUAAGAUUCACCUUAGUAUAUAAAUAUUGGUUGGAAGUGUAAAAAUUUUUGCAUUAGUUUUUGUGCUUAAUUUGUACGUUUAUUCCACUUUCCACAGUUUGGGUUAAUAAUUAAUUUUACGUGAAAGUGGACAACAAGAGUUCAUGCAUGGAUAAGUUUUACGUAGGCCUCGUGAUCUUUUAUUAUUAUUAUUAUUAUUAUUAUUAUUAUUAUUUUUUUUUUGAGGGUACGUAAACUUCCAAUAGUGGAAGUUUCAUGUGCUGUGAUGUGUUGUUUCCACUUUCUUUGCUUCAUGUUUUAAUUUCCAACUGAGAGCAAGAAAUUUGUGAGUUUCGCGAACUUGUCUUCAUUGCCAAAUUUUAUCGAAGUCGAAAGACUGAUUUUUAUGAAAGUCUAUGACUUUCUCCGAGUCACGAAUUCAACCUUUGAAAUCCACAAAAACAAACAGAUCAAGUGCCUUGCAAUUGCUGUGCAGGUAUGAUAUUGGUUUUGGAUAAAAUUUAUGAUUGUGGGUAUAAUUUUGAUCUAAACUCGAACUUAUUCCAUUAAUGGUUGGUUUUAAUUUUAUUCACUUUUCUUGCUGAGUUUAGAUUAAAAUUCAAUAUAAACACAGUCCAACUUAUUGGCGAGCAUCAAAAACUUGCACUAAAUCAAAGUUCUAAGAAAGAAAGAUCCAUACAGAAUCAGAAUAAUAACCAUCAAGUGAUAUGCACAAAAUCAAGGAAAAAGAAAAUAUAGUAUAUUGUUAGAAUUUUGAUUUCGAGUUUUAAAAUACGUAGAUCUUACACGCCCCGUGUCAAAAGAUUUGCAUAUCCUUUUGGAUUUUUAAUAUUAAAAGUAAAAUAAAAACAGUUGACAAGAUAAGUAUGCAAUCUUAGCCCUUCAAAAAAGAUAUGAAAGAUUUACGCACCUUUAUAAUGUACAUAUAGUAUUGCUCUUGUUUAAAACAAGAAAGAUAAACUUCAAAAAAAUUAUGGCCCAGUGAUUUUAGUGUAUUUUCACUUUGCCACUUAUUAGUUUCGAAAGUUGUACUAAACUAUGCUAUAUGAUUUAGCACAUUUUUCACUUUGUUAUCCUAUGAUUAAAACAAAUACACUUUACUAUCCUGUGAUUUUUAUUUUUUUAAUUUCCUGUAAGAACUUUUUGUUAAACAAGAUACCUCCCUAUAGUUUUCAAAAAAUUUUACUAUAAUUACUACCCUACCUAUAUAAUGGAAAGUUAUUUCAGUAAAAUAAAAUAAAAACGCAGGAUAUAAUAUUUUAAACCAUAAGAUGAUAAAAUAAAAAUGCGAUAAACCACGUGGGGGAAGAUGAUAAAAUGAAAAUGCGAUAAACCAAACAGGGGAUAGACUGAAGUUUACCCUGAAAACAUAAGGUCUCACACCAAUCAUUUAGAUCAAUUAGGCAUGCUGCAACUUUCGAUAGAACACCAAGGGGGCGUUUGGUUUGGUGUAAAUUGAAUUGAAAAAUUAUUUUCAGUAUGAAAAGUACUUUUUCGCUUGUUUGGUUCGACCUUAAAAACAUUUUCCCAUAAAAAUAAUUUUAUGGAUUUGACAAAAAAAAAAAAAAUUAAAGUUUUCAUUUUGAACUGGUUUUCAGCAGAAACAAAACUCAAGCUAAGUAAAAUUUUUUUCAUUCUUUUUUUUCCACCGUACCAAACAAAUGUUGAUGAAGAGCUACUUUUUCCUUUUUAAACAAACCAAGCACUAUAAAAUAUAAAAUUUUUUAAUGUUUUUUCAUGGAAAAUUAUUUUUUACGGUUUUACGGUGAACCAAACAGACCCUAAAAAGUUGCAGUCACCUAGAAGCCAUGUGCAAAAGUUGUCAUCACACAAGCUACAUAAUCUACUGGUACUAUAGGACGCAUACAUAACUAUUUUCCUCUUCAGAAACUACUUAGAUUGAAAAGAAAAUCGCCAUACACAAAAAUCCUACAGAGAUUGAAAAAAAAGAAAAUGAAAGUUACACAUACAAAAGGAAUCUAACAUUUCCAGUAUUUUUUUUCUUUUUUUUUUUUUUACCGCGGCAUUGACCAAGUCCUUCCACUGAAUCCUAUACAUUAUUAGGUUACUGAAACCCUCAGUUUGAGCACACCCUUAAAAACAUAUCUCGCGAGCAUUAAAGUGACAGAGUGAUGAAAAUAGGAAAUUGUUUCUAAGCUAAUUAUUUUACUUGUAGAGUUUCGUGAUCUGUUCGCGAUAUCUUUCAGCUACUUUGUCACGCCGUACUUUCAUAGUUGGCGUCAUUAAGCCGUUCUCAAUCUGUUGUGGGGAAGAUAGAGAAGUUAAGCGUAUUUUUCCAGAAAAGGUUAACAGGUCUACAAGUAAGAGAGGAGGAAUUUGGUGAAAUUUACCGUAAAUGGUUCGUCCAGUAUCAGUAUAGGUCCGAUUUGGAAAGUGCAACCAGAAGUCCUGUAGUUAGAUAAAUAGAAGUUACUUGUUUUAUAAUUAAAUUUUGUAAAACAUUUACUAAUGAUUUAAAACCCAGAACCAUUUACGAUCUGGAAAUAUUAUAGUAUCAUGGGUCACUAGUUCAACCAAUGAUUCAACCACUGGGUUGAAUGACGUCAGUGGUUAACUACUGGUUUAAUUAUUUUGCAUUUUUUGAAAACCCUAAAGUUGAAAUAAGCCCAUACUACAAAAAAAGAGGGAAAAAGGGAAAGGCAAAAGAAGAAUUAGAGUGAGGCUUACCAAGUUCUGAUUUCAUCAUAUAGUAAGUUCAUCAUUUUAUCUUUGCUGAGGUCCGUCGCAUCAUCAUCGAUGGCCCUCAUUCUUGCUGCUGCUGAUACUUCAUCUUUGUUUGGAACAACAAGAGCACCUAAGCGUCGUUGGUCCUAACAUAAAACAAUUGACCAACUUAAGGCAACCGAUAUACUUGGUAAAUUAAAAUCAUCAUGAGUAGAAAGGGAAAUAUACAAAUAUAGGAUAAGAAAUGUGUUAAGUCAAAGAAGAUGCUUAUAUAGGAAUAUACAAAUACUGGAUAAGAAAUGGGCAAGUCAAAGAAGAUGCUUAUAAAGGAAUAUACAAAUGGAGGAUAAGAAAUGGGCAAGUCAAAGAAGAUGCUUAUAAAGGUUAAAAGGGUUUAAAGUUUUAAAUCCUUUCACCUGACCAAUAACCACAAUCUGCUGAAUUAAACUACUUCUCAGGGCAGCUUCCUCAAGCUCUGCAGGUUCAACAUUUUCACCUACAAGUUUUCCAGAUUAGAGCCAGUUUAAUAUUGACACAACUGAAACAAGACACUACAGCUAUUUGUGUGAUAUUUGCUUCUCAGUUUCCAAUGGGUAAUUCCCGACUAUAACCUCUGUACUUAAAAGAAGAUUACACCAGUCACAUUGAGCUGUGCAAUGACUAUAAAAGCACAAGCCCCCUGUGAUAUAGCACAUUUGCACUUUACAACCUGUGUGAAGCAUACCACUCAUCACAAUGGUGAACCAACGGUGCAAUCAUCACACCGGCCCUAAAUUAUUGUCUUCGAACCUUAAACCUUUUCCUCAAGUUAAAUUUAUGCUAUAAACGAGAAGAAUUCAAAAAUAUUGUUGCUCAAUAACCUGUGCUAAGAACAAUAGUAUCCUUCACACGUCCUUCGAGAACAAGCAUUCCCCCACAGUUACGGCUACGCCCUCUAGCAUGACUUGGGACAAGCCAACCUAUAUCACCAGUGUUGAACCAGCCAUCUUCAUCCAAAGCUGCAUUUGUAGCAGAUGGAUUCUGUUGAAAGUGAAAUACAUAAGAGAAGGCAACAAAAGGGCUUAAGAUAAGAGUAUGAUGAUUUUGUAGAGUCUGACAAUUUUGUAACAACAAAAUCUAUCUCCCAUCCUCCCUCCCUCCCUCCCUCCAAGGCAUAAAGAAGGCGCUUAAGAUAGAUUUUGAUAAUUUUGUAGAGUUUGAUGAUUUUGCAAUAACAAAAUCUCUCUCCCUCGAAGGGCACUUCCAAGGUAGAUUUGGUGAUUUUACAAUAACAUUCUCUCUCUCUCUCUCUCUCUCUCUCUCUCUUCAAUAACUCAUAGAGAAAAUUAAUUGGUGACGUAAUAAGUUCAUAAUCAUAAUUCCAUCAGUAUAAACACCAAUUUAGUUCGUUUGUAUUUACAUACAACAGAUUCCUCAAGAAACACAAGUUAGAUAUUAAAUUACAUAUCAGGACAAUCAUAAGCAUCUUCUAUGGGUCGUUCCUUGCUGAACACCACUUCUGUAGACCUUAAACUUUCAUAGAUACUUCUUUUCUGAAGGCAACUUUACACUAUUGACAUUGACUUCUAUUGAAGUGAAGAAGUCAAAAAAUAAGAUUCACUACAUAGAUUAUUAAGAUGAUCUUAAGCUCACCAACUGCGGAUGAGACAAAACCAGAUAACUAGGAUAUGUAGUACUGGAAGCAAAUAUGAUUAAAGAUUGACUAAAAUGAUGUUAAUGAAUAAGGGUAAUAAUCAUUCAAAAAUAUUCAGCUUCAGGGAAUUACUUUAAAUUGGCAUCAGCCGAGAUGAAUACCUUAUAGUAACCUUUCAUCACCUGCGGCCCUUUAGCUUUGACUGUCCCUUUUGAACCAUUUGGGAGCACUUUACCUGAUUCUAUGUCCACGAUCUUGAUUUCUGUGUACUUCAGAGGGUGCCCAACUGUGCCAAGAACCUUCACCAGUCAUAAUAUUUGCACAUUAUUUUUCAUAGAUACCAUACUUAGUUUCUUAGUAAAAUCAGGUUUUGCUUAAUUUACAUUGAGUGCUGGAUGGCGGACAGCUAGCACUGGAGAAGUCUCUGUUAGGCCAUAACCGUUUUGCACCUUCACACCAAUUGCCUGAAAGAGCCAAACAUAUACAAACCCAACAAGCUAUUCAGAAAGGUUCCCUACAAAAUUAUCAAUUUACACAUAAAUUUAUAUCCUAGAUAUAUCAGGGGCUUCACUUUUCACAUUUGCCCUUAAAACCUAAUUUCUUACAUUUAUGACCAUGUACUUUACAAAAUACCCCUCCCUAGAAUGUUGUCUUCAGUACCAAACCAAUUCCUCCACAUGAAUGAGAUGAUUUACAAAUUUAAGAAGAAAAAAAGGUAGUUAAAAACUGCACUUUUAAGAGACAUGCAUAAAAACUCAGAUUUCACAGGGUUUAUAUGUUAAUAGAUGGUCUUGUAGGUAAUAUAUGCAAAUGCCCCAAAACCAUAGAUAGAAUGACAUGCAGUCAUCUAAAAUUCUAACCUCAAAAAAUCUGUCAAUGUACAUCGCAAGACUUCCACCACCACUCAAACCAGCCUGCAAUUAUUCAAACAAAGCUCUACAAUUUAUACAGAUACUGGCAAUAUAUAAAAUAAACAUUUCUAUUGCAGAAAAAGAUGAUAAAAUAAAUCCACUAAGUCUUUCUAUCACAGAAAAAGAUAACAAAGUAAAAUUAUGAUAGCUCUCUCAGCAAAAUUCUGGCUUAAAUUGUACCUUCGAUAUUCCAAUAGCAGAGUGAAUUUUAUUGUAGACUAACUUCUUUCCCAGGUAAUGCAAAGGCAAUAAAAGCGUGGAUAUAAUUCUUGCCCACAACCAGUCUAUCAUAGCAGCAAAAAAUGAAGGCUGGAUAGGACUUUUGGUUAAGACUUUUCCCUUCCCAAGAAUAUUUCAUGCAAGGAAAGGAAAAUACAAAAGGUGUCAGGAAGAAAAUUAUAUUUGGUGAACCAAUACAAAUUACAUAUGUCCAAACCUCAUAAAUUCUCUUAGCCUCCAUGUAUAACAAACUAAUCUUGAUUAAUGUAAGUGCAAUGAACUUCCGAGCAGCAGAGCUUGCAUAAAUUUGCUUAUGUAUCGAACUGCAGGAAGCAAAAAAAGUUUUUAAAAAAUUAGUAACUACAAUCAAGGCAAAGGUUGCAAAUUUUGCAUAUUUCAUAGAUAACAUAUCUACUUGUCCUAGACGCUAGCCAGGAGAGUAAGUUAAUAAUAUUUUGAAGUUAGCAACUAACUGACUAUUCUACAUGUAUACUGCAGUCAACUUGAUGGCAAGAGAUUAUCAGAAGAAACUUAUUAAACGUAAACAAAAUGAGACCAUAGUGAAAAUAAUAAGUCAGCAACCCACAUGACUCUGCCUUCUCGAUGUUAUUGGGACAUCAUGAACUUUCCAAAUUUUCACAUGCUAAUGAGAAUCACCCAGUUCACAUGAACAUAAUAUUGUGAAGUUCCGAAGCACAAUAGCUGACCUGUACAGUGUUUCAUAAACCAAAGGAACUGAUACAAGGUAGUGAGGUUGAUACCGCUGCAAAUCUUCCUAUCAGAAAAUAGGAAAGUCAGAUAGAUGAAGCAAUCAAUGCUUUUCUGUAGUUGAUCUGAACCAAGGAAUAACAAGAAAAUAAUACAAUACUUGGAAGAAGCCAGCUUCUACUUUCAAAACAAAUGAUCUUAGAUCACAAUAUUAAAUCUCAUUCACAUAUCAAGUCUAAAAGUAAAGCAAAUCAAAAUUUCCAGCAAAAUAAGGCUGAAUUGCAGAAAACCACUCUGAAAUGCUGAAAAUAGCUCCAUUUGCUCUUUUCUUCAUGUAAUACAAAAACCUAUAUGUAAUCCCCUCAAUGCUCAAGUGUAGACACCUAACCUCUUCCCGUUAAUCAAGAAUUCUUCGGUACAUAGAAUAUGAUCUGAAAUGAUAAUUAUUCCAUCAUUGUCUAAACAUUUGAAGGGUUAGAUGUAAGAUUUUUAUAUUUCAGGGGAAAACAAGCAAGUAGCACUAUUUGUAUGCUGGGGUUUUUGCAUUUUAUCCACAAAAGAGAUAUAAGGCGUACCUUCAAAUACCUCACAUUUGUGUAAACUUGCUCGAUGCCAUGUGUGAAUGUGAAAUACUCCGCAGCUCGUUCAUAUGAAUGCCAAGAUGGAAGCAUGCUUAGGAACCUGUCUCCAGGCUCUGCAGGAACAAUGUCCCAUAGGUUCUCUAUCUACAAUCAAAGAUCACAAAAACACAGAGAAAGAACAGAUUGACAAUUCUUGUUGAAGGAAAAAGAAGGUACAACAAGUAAUUAUACAAGCAAGUAUCAAAAACAGUUUUCCAAAUUAUUCUUAGGACAUUUCCAUGUAAAGAAAUAAAUUUGAAGCUCAAUAAGAAAGUAUGUUUAAUUCUCUGAACCUAAAUUUAAGUAGGUAGCAUUGUUAGAUGAAAACUGCUUGUGUAGUAAUGCACUACUGUUGCAAAAUAGUAAUUGAGAUCAUCAGCAAGGAACAGAUGGAUUUUCUGCAAAAAGAACUCAACAUGAUUGGUUAAGAUCCAUGGAGAUUCAAUCUUAAAUUUCUUAACUUGUAGAAAUUCAAUUAAUUUAGAAGUAUAUAUUGAAUAUCUGUAACCAAACCUGAUGCAAGAGAUUUCGAUGUGUAAGCAAUACACCUUUUGGCAUGCCGCUUGUUCCGCUUGUAUACAUCACAGUUGCAACAUCUUCAGAAUUGAUGGUUUCAAACGAAUAAUGUUGGCCUAUAAAAUUAGCCAUUCAGUUCAUCUACACAUGAAGUGCUUCAAAAUGUAAGUAGAUGCUGUAUGUGCUGUAAAUAAAAGGCCAUAAUUCAGACGAAUAAAAAAGCCUAAGGCACUACCUUUCCUUUUGUUAUAGACUUCUAAUUGAAUUAUUUUUUCCAUCUAACUAUAGAUACUAUAAUGGUUGCAUCCCGUAUUUCAACCCAUGCUUUUAAUUGGAGUUUUUCAUUUCAUUGACAGCUAGUUAAGUCGAAUGACAGGACUCCAAACUUCGAAGAUCAUCCUACUUGUAAGUUGCAACAUAAAGAAGCAGUCUUCCUAAUAUCAUAAAAUAAUCCUAUAGAUGAACUGGAAAGUUCAAAAGGCGCGUUUGGCUCGUGCUAUCCUGCCAAGAUUACUGAAAAUCUUGCAAAACUCUUUUCAAAUUAUUGUGUUUGGUUCAUCUCGCAUGUUGUCUUGUCAGUAAUGCAGGAUUACUAUUAGCACAAGAGUAGCCCAAAAAAAUUACUGGGGAGGGAGUUUAGGUAUUUUGCAUUGUUGAUUGCGGAUAACCCUGCAACUUACAAAAAAUUCCAAAGUUAACCCUCCAUGCCCCCAAUUGCCUCAAAUUUAAAAUUAUUCAAAAUUCAAAUUUGAAUUUGAAAUUUGAAUUCAAAAACUGAAUUUGAAAUUUGAUUUCGAAUCCCAAAUCAGAAUUUGAAUAUGAAAUUCGAAUUCAAAAUCAAAAUUUGAAUUUGAACCCUGAAUUGGAAAUGUGAACAUGAUUCAAAAUUCAAAUUCAAAAUCUGAACUUGAAAUUAGAAUUUGAAUUCAAAAUCAAAAUUUGAAUUUAAAAUGCAAACUAAAAAACAAUAUUGGAAUUUAAAAUGCAAACUCAAAAUCAAAAUUUGAAUUUAAAAUGCAAACUCAAAAUCAAAAUUUGAAUUUAAAAUGCAAACUCAAAAUCAAAAUUUAAAUUUAAACAAUAUUUAAUCUUAAAUUUAAAAUCUGAAUUUAAAUUUGAAUAUGAGUGCAAGGGUAUUUUUGGAGUAGCAUAAACUUUACUUUAGAAUUACUGAAAUCAAUAAGAUGAAUCAAAUGUUGUGAUCUUACAUGUGUAGUAAUCCGCCAUUAUAUUACUGCACCGAACCAAACCCAGCAAUCAACCAUUAGUAGCAAUUUGAUUCACAGAAAUCAGAUUUCUGGUUAUGUUAAUAUAACCAGGAAUGUUGCAAAGCACGAACCAAUCAGAUCUGUUGUCCUAUUUUGUGUUUCAAUACAAUAUUAUGGAGAUAUUGUUUACUGGGAGGGUGUUUUGGCUAUUUGGAAAUCAAUGUCCAAGAUAUUGGUUACUAGGGGGUGUUUUUGGCUAUUUUGAAACCAACAUCAGAUGUUUUAUAAUCUCAGGCUUAACACAUAUCGCAAUAUUAAUGCGUAUACUUCUUCUCUUUUGGAAAUUAAAUUAAUGCUACAUAAGAAAUUGUAGGAUGUUAAAGCUCUAGGAUUUGAUGCUUAAGCAGUAUCAAAAGAUUAAGCUAUAAUUUGAAGAUUUUUAGUUAUCUAUAAAAUGAAUUAGGAAAAGUUGAUGCCUGAUCAAUAUAAGUGCUUCUCCCUCUCACUGUAAUCUAGAACUUCUAUGCGGAAAGAUAUUAAUAAACUAUAUAAUGAUUGCACCCUAGUAACAGCUAGUAAUAGGUGUCUGAAAACAGAACGAGGAAGCUUCAUUUCUAUUGAGGGAGUAAACCACUAUAUCCAUCAUCUUCCAGCCUGAACAUUCAAGCUGAUCAUCUAUUACAAUGUUAGUAACUAAGCUUGUUCUUUUACAGAUAUCUGUUUACAUGCAAAUGCAGCAGAGCCAUUUCAAGUGUAACUUGAUGGUGGAUUCGGAAAUUCACUGACGAGCAAUUAAAAAUAGCUAAAAAUGUGCAGAUCUUACCUGAAUUUUAAUUUGUUUUGAAAUGGAUACAUGUAUUUUUGUAUUCACUGCCUAACUUUCCAUUGUUAAUUUUUUGUUUUGAAAUGGAUACCUGUACUUUUGUAAUUCACUGCCUAACCUUACAUUGAUUUUAGGGCUUUUUUUUGCAUUUGGCCCCAUCAAAAUAUAUUUUUUUACAAAUAGCCCCAUCAAAAUUUAUAAUUACAAAUUUGGCGCUAUCCCCGCCACAUAGGCUCCAGAUCAGCGCCAUGAUUUUAAGUUGAACACGGUGAACCAUUCACUGUGUUUGAACACGGUGAAUGGUUCACCGUGUUCCAAACCUAUAUUCCCCCCCUUUCCCCUUUUCAAUACUUAUAUUUUUUCGUAAUACAAUACAUAUAUACUAUAUUUUUCCCAAACACGGUGAACCAUUCACCGUGUCUAAACAUGGUGAAUGGUUCACCAUAUCUAAACAUGGUGAAUGGUUCACCGUGUUCAACUUAACAAAUUGGCCCCAACCCCGCUCACGUGGCACUGACGUGGCGCUUGCGUGGCACUGACGUGGCGCUUGCGUGGCAGGACUAGAGCCAUUUUUGCAAAUAUAAAUUUGCCGGGGCUAUUUUUAAAAUAAAUUUUUUUUAGGGGGCCAAAUGCAAAAAAAGCCCUUGAGUUUAACUAAAGAAAAUUCCAUCAAUUUCCAUUAUGACUAAACAGUUUCCAUCAAAAAAAUAUCAAAGAAUGUUCUAUUAGGUUAUUGAAUAUUGUGGUUAAAAUUUUUAAAAUACCAUUACGUAGAAAAUUACAGGUAAUUAAAUCGAACUUACUAGAAGGUUAGGUAGUAAAAUCAAAAUUUUUCAAGUUCUGUGAGAAUUUAAGGUUAGUUAUGCAUGUUUUAACCUAAAAAUUGGAGAGACGCUUUCCAUGCAUACUUUCUCAUAAAAUGUAACGGAUUAUUACCUUCUUUGCAAGAUUGGAGCAAUGCAUCGCGGCUUUCCUGCCCUAGUUUUAUGAUUUCUCUAUAGUCAUAUAAGGGUAUGUCCUUUAUUGAUUUGCUAUUUAGGCUUGAUUUCUCACCCCAAAGUAGAACAACAAAUCUUACAUCUACCCUCGGAAUGAAUGAUUCUGCAAGCCUGUUAAAAAAUUGUGGACUAUCCACCACAAGUGCAACGCUGCAAAAACGAGCAUAAAUGAAAGAGAAUAAGUCAUCGCAGAAUUGUAAGUCACAACAGGAAAAGAAGACAGCAGCUUUCAACAUGAAUGAUGGUUUGGACACACCAUUCACACAAACACUGGCAGCAUGAUUAAUUAUUUAUAGCAUAUAAUUGGAACCAAAAUUUAAAAAAACAAAAUAAGGGCACUGAACUAGUAGUGAAUUCAUGAAGUCAAAGAGAAGAAGAAAAGAUAAAUAAAGUAUUCAGAAAGACUGAAGAUAAGACUACAAUGCUCAUAGGGACCCAAGACGCAUGCAAUGCAACACUUAAAUACAUAUAUAGUGAUUUGUCUUAUACUGACAAAAUCAACAGCCCCCUGACGCCACCAAAGCGCAAAAAUUGAUAAAACUUCAGAAGUCGAGCAACAUAUAAUACACAUAAGGAUUUCUUACACAUCUUUACAUAACAUAAAGGAAACAAGAAGUUCUAGACGAUCUCCGCUACCCACAAAAGAACCAUCAUAAUUUUUCUUUUCUUUUUUUUUUUGGGCGGGGGAAGAGGGGGUGGGGGUGUGUUUUUGGGCAAGACAAAUGUUCAAGAUAUUAUACCUUCUCCAACAUCCAUGUUGAUAUAUGUAACUCAUCGGAGCAGUUAAGAGGCAAAAUAUAAUGUACGAAAAUUGUAGCAAAGGAAACUCACCUGUCAGAAUGGUUGUAUAUUUGCAUCAAUUCUUCGUCGGAAGAUCUUGUGCCUCGAACAACAUUGAUUGCACCAGUAGCCAUAAUUCCUGCAAGACAACUGGCCCAAAAUGUAAUGCAUGGAAAGCAGUAAAAUAAUAAUAAAUAAAUCAAACAUAUAAAUGCAACCUAUCAUUUUGCAUGAGACAAAAAGAACAGCAACAGUGAAGGUUAUAUAUAAUGGAGCCUUCUUUUGCAAACUCCAAGUGGUUAUUUCUUUCAGCUUGGAGCCUUGAUGAGAAGUCAUAUGUAUUCACUUCAUAUUACCAUGGAAAAAUAAAAAUAACAAAGAUUCCACUGGACCUGCCAUUAUUUAGACUGAGCGUGUCAAAUUCGUGGUACUGCUGUUAAUGCAAAUUUAAUCGCGUGAGAGAGAGAGAGGGUGAGGGAGACCUAGAUUUUGCACCCCAGCUAGUAGAUGGCAAGAACAAUUUGAUAGGUCAUAUUUUCCUCUAAAUGCUUCCUAGUCAUCAAAAGAAUCAGAAUGGGGAGGAAAGACAACGAGGACCAUCAGGCCUAGUUUAAUGACCCAUGUUAGGGUCAAAUUCUGUCAGAAUAACAUGAUCUAAAAUUCUGAAGGAAAGGGGAAUUAGGUGUGCAAGUAAGAAUUACUUCUAUUGAAGAGUUUGUUUGAACUAAUAUGAGUGGCAAGAUGAAAUUACUUUGAAGCGCAGUAUGCAUUCUGCUGCAGGGAAAUCCUCAACUUCCUAUGUCUCAUAUCUUCAUCCAACAUAGGAAAACAAUUGGAGCCUAAGAAUUAUCAAUUUUUUUCACAUCUGUCUCUUACCCUGGUUUGGUGAAGAGUCAUCGUAUAGAUGUGGCAAUUUAUCUUCAUAUUUCCUUUCCAAGAUUUGUUCUUUAUAUAUUACUUUCCUAUUUACUACAUAAACAUAAUUAUGAGUUGAAGUAAAUUAAAAUUUGGACACAUAUAAUGUGACAGGAUAUGCUCCAUAUAUGCUAUCCCUUGGCAGGGUACAUAAAUGCAGCCUCCUUUUAAGAUAUUAAUAUUCAUAAAGGCUAACAGUAUUCAAAAGCAAGUCCCGUGCAGGAAAAAAAAAAAAAAGCCCAUAUUAAUUUUUAAAUUUUCUCAAAAGAAAAAAACCUUUAUCUAAUCACUUCACAUCAGUAAGACCUAUGAGUGUUGACAGUACAUAAACAAUUCUUGAUAUACCUUGAUCGGCAACCAGCCACCUGCAUGAAUUGUCAGCAAAAAGCGCCAACUUUUCAUCUGGAAUAACUCCUGCUACUCUUAAACCUUCAGAGAAGUUCAAAAUUUCUUGUUCAAGCUGUGAUUGGAGGAAAGAAUUUGACAUUUCAGAAACAUUAUUACUCCAGUAAAUCCUGAUAAUUUACUCAUUUAUCAAGAAAAUCAAAACUUAAAUCGAGCCUACUUUUCCUAUUAUCUGGUAUGGUUUCAAGAAUCCUAAAUAAAUUUGAGAAUGCAUUCAGUCAUCCAUAGAGCAUCAACAUAAUCUUUAGAAAAUUAGAUAAUAACGUGGACUAGCACUUUUGCAAGAAUAAACCAGCUAGCAGGUUGAAUGCCAUGUGAGUGACUGCUUGCAAUUUUGUUGGAGUUCGAAGAAAAGAGAGAUCAGUGCUUCCUCACUUGAAAGUUGAAUGCAAAGCAACGUGAAGUCAUGUUAACAUGCAUGAUGGGAAAAAUUAAUUAACUAACAAGAUAAAAAUGGUUAUCAACAAUUCUUUUAUUUGAAAAAAUAAUAAAAGAAUUAAUUCAACUCGUCCUUUCUUUACUUCUUCAUGAAGGAAAUGAUAUCUUGUAUCUAUAUGUUUACUUCUCCCAUGAUGCACUGGAUUUUUAGAUAGCUCAAUUGUUGAUUUAUUAUAGAUAAAUAUCGGGGUAGGAGAAUUUUGAAUAUAAACCUAAUUCUUGUAAUAAGAUUUUUAAUCAUAUUUCUUCACAAACUUCACAUGUUGAUAAGGUUACAAUUUGCCAUUUCUUUGAACUCUACGUAAAAGCUAUAGAACCCAUAAAGAAAACAUAUCCCGUAGUGCUUUUUCUUUCAUCUUGAUCUCUGACCCAAUCAAUAUCUGUAUAUCCAAUUAAUUUCAACUCUUUUGAAUUUGUAAAGUAUAACCCAUGACCAAUGGUACCAUUAUAUAUCUUAAAAUCCGUUUUACAACUUGCCAGUGCGAUUCCAUUGGAUCAUCCAUAUAUCGGCUGAUUAAUCUGACUCCAUACGUGAUAUCUAAUCUACUCAUUGUUAAAUAGUGAAGACUUCCUAGUAGGCUUUUAAGCAUAGUAGAAUUAAUUUUCUUUCUUGAAUCACUAAUAAAUUUCACAUUGCCACCAACAUUAGUUUCUUACUUCUACACAUAUAAUUUGAAGCAUCGGAAUCCAGAAACCAUACAUAUUGUGGACCUUUAACUUCGGCUCAACAUGCAAGUAGUAGUGAAGUUUCUACAACUUUAUCUUCUAAAGUACUCGAUGUAGUAAUUAUUCCUUCAGUAUUUUUAUACCAGCAAUAGUUGCUACAGUGACCAUAUUUUUUACAAUUAUAACAUUGGGUGUUGGAACUUGCCCCACCAUAAGACCCUGGAUGAUUGUUAUUACGUCUGCCUUUUUUUGGUCCAUAUUCAUGUCGUGAAUUGGUGACCACUGUUGUUGCUACUUUGUCGAUUAUUGUUAUAUCUCUUUUGAUUCUUAUAUUUAUUAUAAUUAUUUUCUCCACGAUUCUUGCCUUCCCUAUUUAUUAAGUUUCAAUUUUGACUUGAGAGCUUGCUCAGUCGACUUAUUUUCAGGACUUCAGAUACCUUUUGUAGUAUUUGCUUAUCUGCUUGGAAGGGAUCCUGUCAAUUGGUUGAUAGAAAGAAUACUAACAUCUUUUGACUCUUCUAUGAUGACAACAAUAUGCUCAAAUUUUGAUGUGAGGCCGUGAGGGAACGAAGAACCUUUUCUACAACUCGUUCAUCAUCAAGUUGUUCUUCAUUUCGCUUCAUUUGUUUUACAAUAACCAAAAAUGCAAGAAAUAUGGUCUGCAACACUUUCGGACUCCUUUAUUCGGAUUGCUUCAAAUUCUGCUUGAAGCUUUUGAAGACAAAUUUGCUUCACUUCAUCAUCUCCUUUAAAGACGGCGGCAAGAAUAUCCCAUGCUGCUUUGCUCGAAGUUGCUUCCGCAAUUUUCUCGAACGACGACUUUUCUACGGCUUGGUAAAGAUAGAAGAGGGCCUUUUUGUCCUUCUUUCUUGCAUCCUUCAAAUCAUUUCGUCGGGCUAUGUGUAUUCUUGGUACCCAGUUUUAACUAAUUCCCAAAGAUCUUGAGAACCAAGAAGUUCUUUCAUUUGAAUGCACCAAUUCUCGUAAUUGUCUUUUAAUAGUUUUGGGAUUCGGGUUUGGAGAAGUUGAUUGGCCAUUUUUUUUGACAAAAUUUCUUUCUAGCAACCUUUCUCUCAGAGAUGGAGCCAUGUAUAGAUCCAAAAGGGCCAUGGUCCCCCUCAACUUUUCGAUAUUUACUUUAUAGUCCGUUGGUAGCUUAUAAAUUUUUAGUUAAUUUUUAAAAUAUAUGGGCCUAUCUUGUAAAAAGUUUUUAGUGCUAAUAUAGAGCCCUCUCUCUUCUUAGAUGUUUUACAGGUGAAAAUAUACUAAGAACCUCUUAAUUAUAGUGUAUUUUGAAAUAAGCCCUUUCAACUUUAAAUAUUUUAUUUACUUAACUUUCUAAUUAUUUUUUAUGAGCUAAUUUAUUUAACUAAAUAAAAUAGUAUGCUAAAUUUAAUAGCUCUGUUAGAUAUUAGCCAUUGGUUGUUAUUAUUUUAUUAACAAAAAUUAAAAAAAUUAAAUUCUAACUAAAUUACUAUUAGAUUUAGUAAAAUUCUUAAGUUAUUUGAAUGGAAUAAUGCAAAUAAAAUAAUUAGAAGUUAAGCGAGUGUAAAUUAAAGAAAUAAAUUUAAUAUUUUUCAGCAUUAAUUAUCUAAUCACUAAAUUUUUUUAUUAAAAAUUUGAGUAGUUAAAAUCUUAUUUAUCUGCUAAAAUUUUUAUUUGUACAUAUUUUGGCCCCCCUUGUGAUUGAAUCCUGGCUUCGUCCCUGCUUUCUCUGAUACCAAAUGUUGAUGGGUUUAAACUAUAUUAAAACUGGAACAACCAAAUUUAUUUAAAUAUGAUUGAACUUAAAUACAAUUUGAUCCAAACAACACAACAAAUUACAUGCCCUCUAUUUAUAGAGCAUGAAACUACGCAAUUUUUCACGAAAAUAGACAUCCCUUCGCUAAAGGUGUAACGACCCAGCCCACUAGCAACAAUAACUCGUUGGGCCCAACAACCGGCCCAAAAUGCUUAAGCCCAGUUAUUAUUACUAGUGUCUAAGUCUCUUAUAAACUCAAUGACAACCCCAUUCCCAUCCGAUGUGGGACUAUUGGGGUGUCACAGACUCCCCCCGUUAAGGCCCUGACGUCCUCGUCAGUCCAAUCACACACACAGCCCAAGAUCACCAGACGAUGUGAGACUCGUCUCGCUAGCCCGUCAUCCAGACCCUGGCUCAGCCGAAACUCGCCACACAUGUCCAGCUGGUGAACCGGCUCUGAUACCAAAUGUAACGCCCCAACUUCCCAGGGGGUCACCCAUCCUAGGACUACUCCCGUCCUAGCACGCUUAACUCUCUUAACCUCUUGGGUCUAGCUACCACCCAAAAUGCUUAAGCCGGGUUAAGAGUUUAGCCCUAUUAUAUCUUAUAUAUAGGACUAUCUGGGGUCUCACAAAAGGACAUAACCCUAAACUAAAAGACACAACCUUACAAAGGGACAUGUCCUUUCAUAAGGUACACAACCUUUCAACAAAAGAACCAAAUAUUAAACUAAUAAACAAGCUUAUAAUUUAACAACAUGAGGACAAGAAUGAUGAUCGUGAGUGCAAAGGCAAUUAAUACCAACAAUUGUGGAAGAUAGAAAAAGUAUACAAGUGGAUUAUGACAAAUUGUUUACAACCCGGUGCCAUAUACUACCAGUGUGCCAAACCACUUGCUUGCCUUCUAGUGAAGAGCCUCAUUCAAAACCUUUCAUAACAAAAAUAACAGAUGUGCGUCCUUAUAUUGUUCGCUUCAUUUUAGUCCCAUAAUUCUGUGAUAAGUUACAAAUAAGUUCCAUGCUUACAAAUUCAAAAUGAGCUUAUUACUGAAAAAGGCAGCUAACCGUUUUUUUUUUUUUUUUGCUCGAACAUUCAUUUUGCUUCUUGCAUAUGCAAAUACUAAAUUAUCAAUCUUAUUCUAACUUGAUCUUAGUUCUGUUUGCAUGAUUAACAACACUCGUAUUAACAUGCCAUUUUGUUUAGGCAUCAAGUCAAAAUCAAAAAAGGAACAACAAAGAGAAGAACAGCUCCAAGUUCAAAGAUCAUAUAUACAGCUUGAAUGUGUGAGAAAUUCUGUGUGAAGAUUAAGAGAUACGAAUAUCAAACUAAUAAAUUUUGAUGGCUAAAAGAAGUAGUCAAUAUAAUCUUCACCUGCUUAUAAGUUAAUUGUGAUGGAGGAUCAUGAUAAGGAUCCACCAAUGCAACCCGAUCGCCAUAUUUUUCUGCUGACGAUCUCCAGAUAUCUGGAACUGCCUUCCACUCAUGUGAGGUCAGAUCAUUCCCACCAGGCAAUAGCGCACUAUCCAAGAACGGGGAGUGCCUCCUCCUUACUUGGAAUUCGACCUACAAUUCAAAUUUCAAGGUGUUUCUUCUUUUUCUUAGCGUGCAACUACUUGAAACAGAUCUCGCAAGCAUGACGGGCAAAGAGGCAUAAAAUCAAAAUGAUCCACCUCUGUAGCAGAAAAACUAAUUACUUAAAUUCAAAAAAUCAUAACAUAUGUUUUGCUUCUAAAAUGCAUAAUGAUAUGAAAUGGCCAAAGAAAGCAUGAUAAUGGAUAAGCAGCCCAAAGAAAUCAAACUCAUUCAACUCCAAGGAAGAGGAAACCCUAUAAUUCAAAUUUGGGGCAAUUGCUUAUAUACCCCUGAAAAAUUCCCGACUUUCUGAUUUACCCCUCUUAAAAGGCUAAUAUUGAAAAUAUCCUUUUUACGUUCCAACCUAUUUCAAAUAUACCCCUAGAGUUAAAAUCUGUUAAUUAACUCUGUUAUCUGUAUAAAAUUACUAUUUUGCCCUUUCAAAUAUACCCUUCACCAUCACCGACUUUUCUUAUUUGCCCUUAAAGUCAGGGGCACAAAAAGUAUUUUGACUUUUGGUCUUUUCAAAUAUACCCCUCUACCGUCACCAGCAUUUCUUAUUUGCCCUUAAGUUAAAGGCAAAAUUGGUAUUUUAAUUUUUUUUAACUAUGGUAGAUAUUUAACUCACAUUUAAUCCAAGUUAACUUAACAGGAGAUAACUGCAGGGGUAUUUUGCAAUAACGGUAGAACAUAUGAGGGGUAUUUUAGAAAGAAAAAAAAAUAGGGAUAAAUCGGAUAUUUUCAAACGUAUGAGGGGUAUAUAGGUAAUUAUCCCUUCAAAUUUUGAAUGUAGUCCAACAUAUUUUCCUUCUCAAUCUAACUAAUUAGCAACAUGAGACACAAGCAUGAUUAUGAAUCAAGGACAUAAAGUAAAAAUGAUUCACCUCCAAAUAACAUAAAAUCCUAUAUUCAAAUUGAAAAGCUUAAUUAUUGGUAAAAAUACAAUAAUAAUACAAUAAAAUCAAAAUGACGCCUCUACCUAUAUAUAAUUCAAAUCAAGCUUGUUACAUCUCAAUCAAGCAUAAUUAAUGGUAAAAAUACAAUAAUAGACAACAUGUAACAUCUCAAUCAAGCAUAAUUGUUGGUAAAGCUACAAUAAAAUCAAAAUGACGCCUCUACCUAUAUAUAAUUCAAAUUUAAUAACCUAGUACGAAAUGUUUUCCUUCUCCAUCUAAAAACUAACAACAUGAAACAGCUCAACAAAGCGUAAUUAUUAUGGAUAAGAGGCAUCAUAACGAAAUCAAACUUAACCCCAAGCAGCAAAAUGCCCUAUUACUCAAAUCCAAAACCCUAGAGUAGAUCAAUAGAGUAUAACUCUCGAUAAGAGACAUAAAGGAAAUCAAAAUGCUUCACCUGACCCGAAUUUCCAAAUUGAAAACCGUAGUACAAUAUUAGCUCAACGAAGCAUGAUUACCAACACAGGGCACAAAUAAGUCAAAACAAUUCGCAGUUAAGCAGCAAAAACCCCAUAUUUCAUAUCCAAACCCUUGUACGAUACGUUUAACUUAAUCUAAACAAUCAACAAACAAGAAUCAACUCAAUCAAGCUUGAAUAUAGAAAAGAGGCCAAAAACAGAAACAACGUGACUCACCUUUAAGCAGCACAAAACCCUAGCUCCCCGAUCGGGGCGGAUCGAAAGGCCACCCCUUCGUCUCAAUCGGCAUACUCCGGAGCCUCCGAUCAACGGCGUUCCGCGGCGAUCGAGGCCACAUAGAACGGGCCUAGAUUGGACACAAAAUGCUGCUUGAAUCAUACCUGUACUCGAUCGCCGAUCCCUCCCCCCAGUGAAUCCGAUCUGAGGAAGCAGAACAGGAGAGAGAGAGAGUGUGUAUGUAUAGUAUGGAGAGAGAGAGAGAGAGCGAGAGAGAGAGAGAGAGAGGGUGGGGGAGAGGGAAAUGGCCUCGAGGGCUCCGUUGCGUUGUGGGGGAGGGGGAGGAGGGGGGGAGAAGAGAUCGAUGGAGGAGACGACGACGACGACGACGACAAUGUACUAGUCGCAGCUUAAGCGUGGAAACUGUUGUUGCUUGCACCGGGUGUAUCAAAAUAUUUCACCCACAAUUUUUUUGCCGGACUUUUUUCAUAUUUAGCCCCCCUCAAAAAAGAAAAUUUGAUAAAUGGCCCUUGCAAAUUUAUAUUUGCAUAUAUGAUCCUUUUCUUGCCACACUAGUGCCACAUUGGCAAUUUUAAGUUGAAUACGGUGAUUGAAUCAACGUGUUUAUAUUCACACUUUAGUUUUUUUUUUUUUUUUUUUUUUUUUUUUUUUUUUUUUUUUUUUACUUACUAAGGCUAAGAACAAUAAAAAAUAUAAAAAAAAUACGGUAAUUGAAUCACUAUGUUCAACUUAAAAAUGCUACCUAGGCGCUGGCAUGAUAGGAAGAGGACUAUUUAUACAAAUAUAAAUUUGUUAAGGCUAUUUAUAAAAAAAAAAAGUUUUGAGGGGGCUAAGAAAAAAAAAGCCUAUUUUUUAUUUUUCCUUGGGGGGAAUUUAGGGACAGGGAUGCAAAAAAAUCAGAAUUGAUGGAGCUCUCAUCUUUGAAUAGAAAAGUAAGUAGAGGCAAAAAAUAAAUAAAAAAUAAUUUGUUCUAAAAUUAUUCUGAUAUACUAAGAAAUGAAGUGAGAGACGAAAAGCUAUUUUCUUUUUUUGAUAUGCCUCGCUUCAGUGAAAUACUAUUUUCUUCUUUCGAUAUGUUUCGCUCCAGAGAAAUUUCGCUUCUGUGGUGAAACGAUAAUUAGAGGUAAAAAUUAAGGUAAAAAUUGUUGAAAGCAGAAUUUAAUUUUGAUUAUAUAUAUUGCCUAUCUGAGGAAGAGACACCAAUAGAUUGGCCUAGAAAUUGACGAUUUUUUUUAAAAAAAAAAUUCAGAGGAGUGAGUACAGUUAUGAUGAAAUUUUUACUAAGUAAUUUGUUAAUUUCGCUUUUCAAAUGAAUUUGGCUACAUUAGAUAGUAGCCAUAGGGCCCCAAGAUGGAAAAAAUAUCUCACAUCUUGUUUCCCAAUUUGAGGUGGUCUUUUGUGUAGCAGUUUGUCACGACUUAAAGAUUUUCUCCGAGAUUUUCCUUUCAACCCGUUAAGUCCGUGACAAGUUGCACUAUAUUAUCUAUAUUUCAAGCCAAUUAAAUUUUUUUUUAAAAAAAAGUAUUACACUUUUUUUAAAAAAAUCAUAAUGAAUAUGUAAAUCCUAAGACUUCGUUUGGUUCGGAUAUAAGAAAGAACUAGUCAUACCGGGAAUAAGUACAAGUAUGAGUUUUCGUAAAAACAAGGAUAUUUUUUUGUUUGGAUGAAAAUGUGAGUAUAAGCUAGAACUAGAAAAAUUGUGUUUGGAUGGUUAUUGGGAAUAAGAGAAAUAGUUCAUGGUUAUAAAUAGAAAAUAAUGAUAUUACCCCUCUCAUUAUAUUUGAAUUUAAAUUUUAAAAAUUAAAAUUUUAAAUUUUAAAUUUUAAAUUUGAAAUUAAAAUUUUAAAUUUUAAUUUUAAAAAUUUUAAUUUUAAAUAUCAAAUAUUAAAUUUAAGAUCAAAUUUAAAUUUGAAAGAUAUAAAAUAUCAAAUUUAAAAUUUAAAAAUUAAAAAUAUCAAAUUAAAAAUUUAAACUUUAAAAUUUAUAAAUUUUAGUUUUGAAAUUAUAAAUUUUAAAUUUUAUAAAUUUAAAUUAUAAUUUAAAAUAAAUAUAUAUCUCUCUCUCUCUCUACCAGGUGGGGGUGGGAACAACUUGUUCCCACCCCUCCCAUUCUUGUUUGGGUACAAGAGGGGGGAAAAGGGGGUUAUCUUGAUUGGUUAGGAAUAUGGUGACGUGGUGACACUGCCAUAUUCCUUUUUUUUUUUUCCUAAGAUUUUAGACUUUACAUAUUGUAUAAGUUUUUUUUUAAUCUUAUAAAACAUAUCUUACGUGCAAAGGCUUUUAAAAUAAAAUUGUAGAAUACAUCUUAUGUGCAAAGACCUUUAAAAUAGAAUUGAAGACCAACCAUCUUUAACGCAAGUGGCAAAGGGUAUGGUGGUUGGGGGUCGUAUCGGGAAGAUUGAAAAACAAAAAAUAUAAUGUUUAUCUUAGAUAAAAGAUGUUUCUGAAAACCAAAUAUUGUAAAGUGGGGUGCAUGUUAAUAUCCGACACUUUUUAAACAAAAUAUUGGCUUUUUCAAAGUUUUGAACAUCCUGGGUUUUUUUUGUGUGUGCUAAAAGUUGAUAUUGACAUCGUGCAGACAGAGAUUGCAGCCCUUAUGUCUGUGGCGGAUCUGGCAUCAUUCUUUGUAUGAUCGUCCAUCAUGAUUUGAGGCCUGAUAAUAGCAAGUAUUUUACUUGUAAAGAUUUGUUAUCUGCUUGCAGUAACGGGCUGCUACUUUGUCUCUUCGAAUUUUCAUGGUCUGUGUCAUUAAACCGUUCUCAAUCUGAAUUUGGAAAAAUAGAAUAAAUAAGCUCAAUAGAAACAUUAUGAUUAGUAGAUACAAUAGUGCAAAGUAAAAAAAAGAUUUAAUAUUUGCUAAAAUUUACCGUAAAAGGUUCAUCUCCUAUUGAAAUAGGUCCGAUAUGAAAAGUGCACUCAGAAGUCCUGGAAUUAGAUAAGAAGCAGUGAAUUACUUUUACUGAUGAACAUAAACAAAAUAAAUUCGAAUUCCAUAUUAGAGUUUUGAAAAUUUUACCAUAUAAUGAUAUAGAACAUGCAUAAAAAGACACAUUGCUUUUAAUUUGCAGUAUAAAGAUAGUAACUGCUAAAUUUGAGUUUAGGGAAAUUAAAAACAUAUUAAGCAAUCAAAACAUAAAGAAAGGUUACUAUAUAUAUAUCUUUAAUGAAGAGAAAAUGAUAUUGCAGUAGUUAUUUCAAACAAAAUUUUGCCUAAUGUUAUGUACUUUGCACAUUUCAAAAACAAGAAUUCUUUGAAAUAAAAGGAGGGAAAAAGGAAAACUCGAUCAUAACUAAAUUUAGCAUCUCAUUAUGUAGCAAUUACCAUACAAGAAUGCUUAAGGGAGUGAGGCUUACCAAGUUCUGAUUUCAUCAUAUAGUAAACUCAUCAUUUUUUCUUUGCUAAGCUCUAUUGUUUCGUCGCCGUUGGACAUUUUUCGUGCAACUGCUAAAAUUUCAUCUUUGUUGGGAACAACAAGAGCUCCAAGACGACGUUGGUCCUGCAUAAAACAAACGAUCAAUUAAAGUAUCCAACUGAAGAAAACUACUUCUGGAGUCACUACUCGCAAAACUUGACGGCAUGUAUAACUGACUAAUAGCAACACCCUGCUUUCCAGAAGGUCACCCAUUUUAGAAUUACUUUAGUCGUAGCACACUCGACUCUCUUAAUUUAUUAGGCCUAGCUAUCUCCCAAAAUAUUAUAACCUGAUUAAGAGAUUUAGCUUUAUUAUAUUUAUAUAUAGAACUAUUCUAAAUCCUAUGGGUGUCACAUUCCUCCCCACUUUAAGCCUUUCAAGCAUACUUACAAGCACGAAGCGAUGUGAGACUCAUCUCGCUCGCCUUACCUGAUCUUGUCAUCUCGCUAGCCCUAGCCGAUCUUGUAACUUAUGGGGAGCCCCGCUCCACAUACAUGUAACGAUCCGACACGCUAGCAAUAAUAACUCGUUGGACCCAAACCACCGGCCCAAAAUGCUUAAGCUCAGUUACGAGUUUAAUCGUAUUAUAUUUUAUAUAUAGGACUGCCUGGGGUCUCACAAUCCCCCCUCCUUUAAGCCCUGACGUCCUCAUUAGGCUCAGACUCACAAGUACCACGCGAUGUGAGACUCGUCUCGCUAGCCUUGUACGACCCUAGCUCAGCCGAAACUCAUCUCACACUUUUGGCUACUAAUUGGCUCUGAUACCAACUGUGACGCCCCAACUUCCCAGGGGUCACCCAUCCUAGGACUACUCCCGUCCUAGCACGCCUAACUCUCUUAACCUCUUUGUAACGACCCAGCCCACUAGCAAUAAUAACUCGUUGGGCCCAACAACCGGCCCAAAAUGCUUAAGCCCAAUUAUUAUUAAUAGUGUCUAAGUCAUUUAUAAAUCCAAUGACAACCCCAUUCCCAUCCGAUGUGAGAUUAUUAGGGUGUCACAGACUCCCCCCGUUAAGGCCCUGACGUCCUCGUCAGUCCAAUCACACACACAGCCCAAGAUCACCAGGCGAUGUGAGACUCGUCUCGCUAGCCCGUCAUCCAGACCUUGGCUCAGCCGAGACUCGCCACACAUGUCCAGCUGGUGAACCGGCUCUGAUACCAAAUGUAACGACCCAGCCCACUAGCAAUAAUAACUCGUUGGGCCCAACAACCGGCCCAAAAUGCUUAAGCCCAGUUAUUAUUAAUAGUGUCUAAGUCACUUAUAAAUCCAAUGACAACACCAUUCCCAUCCGAUGUGGGAUUAUUAGGGUGUCACACUCUUAGGCCUAGCCACAACUCAAAAUGCUUAAGCCGGGUUAAGCAUUUCAAAAUGAGUUUCCGAGUAGGAAAUGUUUUAAACUAAUAGAUGUGGAUUUAUGAAUAAAGCGGAAAAUCCUUUUUAAAACUGUUUCACAAACAGAAAGCUUUUCUUUAAAACGCUACAACGAGGGAUAGAAAAUCAUUUUCACAACUCAUAUGAUAAUAAUUAAAACAACAUUAUUUAACUUCAUAAAGCCAUUUAUAUCCAAUUGAUGAAAUAAAACUAACUGAACCAUAAAAUGUAUAAGUCAUUUAUUGUGAGAAAGCAAGAUUAGAAACUAAACCAGAUGAACCGGGUCAGAAGCUCCAUCGACUGCUAAGUACGAGACUCACGCCUCGUCCCGACUCGAACUAGCAACGUCACCUGAAAAAUGGUAAGGGGUGAGAAUAUGUACACACGUCUCCCCUCCCAGUGGGUACCGCAAGCCAACGAAGGCGAGAAGUACUCACCGGCAAAAGAAAGAGAUAACCAAGUAUAUGUGAAGUAAAGUAAAGCAAGGCCUACAGUAGCAAGACAAGUGUAAAGAAAAGAACUGUAAGUAUGCAUACAACAACCGCUACUAUAGCCAUAUGCGUCAACUGGACGAAUAGUCCAAAUAUAUCCAAUCUAAACCGUCGUGUCAGUCUAAGGACCUCAGGCAAAAGCCACUCCUUGCUCGCUCCUAGCAUGUAACCCUAGCACAAAAGAGAACACCGCUGGGCUCACGGAUAAGAUAUAAGACCACUUUUUUGGAAAAGAACACCUUCCUGCGGGAGAUCAGCCCGCUGGUAUACGUGAAAUGCUCUUAAGCUGUGGCGAUCGAUGCAGAUAUGAUCAAUAGCCAACCGUUGACUAAUAGCCAACAAUCACCGCCUCUCGGGGCACAUCGACUAAUAGGUCAUCGAACUGUAAGGAAACACAAGUACCGACCACUUAGGUCAAUUAGGAUGGAACAACUCAACAUCCUCCCAAAGGUAUGUGAGUACCGACCAAUAGGCCACAAGAAUGUCACAUCAGGCAUCAGUAUAAUUAAGAACUAGCCGUCAGCUACUAGCCGACAAUCCUAUCCCUCAGGGUACACCGACCUCAUAGGUCAUCAAACGGCAGGAGUCACGAAACCGACCAACUAGGUCACAUAAAUGUCAAAUCAUGGAUCAGUGUAAUCUAUAACUAUCCGUCCGCAACUAGUCGACAAUCCUACCCCUCGGGGUAUAUCGACCUCAUAGGUCAUCAAACAAUCGGAAUAUCUGGGACCAACCAAUGGACGAGGUGCAAACAAUGUGCGCUCUACUUCUAGAUCAUGAUAGUAAGUAUAGAAAACACGAAGUAGAGCAAUACAUAAAGGUUCACAUGGUGUUGGGCUCAACAAUGGUAAACAAUUGCAAUAAUAGAGAUAAGGUAGAGAGAAUAUCACUGAGCAUGCACCAUUAGACCGACUCCGGAACGAAGUACCCACCUGUGUGAAUAACACGCCUGUCUCUCGACUGUGGAAGAUCGUCAACCGGACCUACGAAGGGUCCACCAGGUUAGUAUCUAACCCAUAUACAAAGAACACUAAAUCCACAACCCCACAAAUAAUAUCACGGGGAUCGGUUUUCCAAAACCGAUUAUCGUAACUCGCCGGGAGUCCCAAAAAUCGCACCGUUUCCGAGACUCAUCAACUCGUGCCAUGAGUCACCCGCUACCACAAAACACAUCGUUUUGGAUGUCUUGGCAGCAAACACAAGGUCACCCAUCGAAACAAUUAUCGUCGGAUAAUCGUUCGGAUCCGGGUUCCCGAAAGUGUCAAUUCCGACACCGAAACCCACCGUCGCUCACCCGUCAUCUCUGAGCUCUCGAGAUGACUAUAGUGACAAGCCAAUAAGGCUCAACGACAAAACCCAGGGUAUUCUAACACCGUCGGAUGAAAUCCGAAUCGAAACCACGUUUCGCCGGCGAAUUUCACCGAAAAAUGCACCAAAAUCGAUAUUCAAUUUUUGCGAAGGGCAUCGGACCUUGGACGAGUAGUCCAGAGGUCACCUACCACCCACACGUACUGCCCACACCAGCCACAAGAUAGCAAUUUACAUCAAAGCCCCCACUAAUAUAUAAAAUCACAUUAUUUUAUGUAAUUUUUGGGGUUUUACGGCUCGAUACCGCAAAUCGAGGGCUUUCACGGUCAGUUGAGACGCGUACUGAUAGGUCUCAAUGUGCUCAUGGUCCGGAGCACGAUAGCUCACUGUGGAGAGCGCGGGAGCGACCCGAAGUUCAGCGAACUAUGCGUACUGAACUUAAACCGCGCAUAUUUCACAAAUCGGGGCUUGCUGACCCCAAAGAAGAUGAGCACGAUGAUUAGCACUGAUCAAGAAUCAUCGUGCUCACUUCCAGAGGCAUUGGGGUGGCCUUAGAUCGCUGCAACAAUGCAAACAACCUCGAAAUAGUGCACAAACAACAGUAAAUUAGCUUAUCGGCCAAGGGAAAGUUAGGGCACGACUGGCGGCGGCUCGGCGGCGGGUGCGCCGACGACAGGUGGGUGCGACCGGUGGCGGGAGGUUGCCGCACACGUUGGCCGGUGGCGGGAGGCGGCGGCGGCGACGCUGGAGCAACCUGAGCCAGCAUGAGCUCGGCUCGGGUUCAGCUGAUCAUCGCGGCCACGGCGGUGACCGAGUAGUUGUGGGGCGAUGGCGAUGGGUCACAAAGGGAGGGGUUUGAGUCACCCUCGGCCCGAACUUGCCCUAGGUAUACAGCCGCAAGCUGCUGGGGGCGGCAGCGGCGGCGACCGGCGAAGGAGGUCACCGGGGGUUGGGGCACGACCAAAGGAGGAGCCCAAGGGGAGGGGCCCUCCUGGUUGUGCUCCGGCAGAGGUGGAGGGAGAUGGUGGUGGAGAAGAUGGUGCAGGUGGCAGUUGGCCGGCCGGAGUUCGGCCGGCGGCGGCUGGGGAGUGCGCUACGCACGCGGGUGAGGAAGGAGAGGCGGCUGGGGGUCAGCUGGAGCUAGGGUUAGUGUUUUCUUCCAUGAAAACCCUAGUUAGUUUAUAUAUACAAGGUGGUAAACUUGCAAUUAACCCACCAAGGAUUGGUAUUUUUAGCCGAGUCCCUCAUAGCGCGAGUAAAAUGCGUGUACGUACCUCCACGUUUGAUUUCACACAAAACAGUACAUACACAAAACAGUACAUAAAAUAUAGGGCUUUUUGCAAAAUUUCCGUUUUGCAACUUAUGACCCCUCCUCGAUCCUCGCGCGAUAUCAGGAGAUCCGUCCGUCAGACUUGCGAACGGACUGCGCCAGCGCGUUCAGCAUGUCCGUGGCAUUGACAUCACUAUGUUGUUUCGCCUGAUUUGGUCGCCGAUUCGCGACAAAACCCAUCGUCUCCCGAUCCACCACAUAACACCUAUAUAUAUAUAUAUACNGGUUCAGCUGAUCAUCGCGGCCACGGCGGUGACCGAGUAGUUGUGGGGCGAUGGCGAUGGGUCACAAAGGGAGGGGUUUGAGUCACCCUCGGCCCGAACUUGCCUGCCCUAGGUGGCCACAAAUUGCCAGGGCCAGUAGUGGCGGCAUGCGGGAACGGCGGCGACCGGCGAAGGAGGUCACCGGGGGUUGGGGCACGACCAAAGGAGGAGCCCAAGGGUGAGGGGCCCUCCUGGUUGUGCUCGGACAGAGGCUGAGGAAGGUGGUGAAAUAGAUGAUGGUGCAGAUGGCGGUUGGUCGGCCGGAGCUCGGCUGCAAGCAGCUGGGGAGUGCGCUGCGCACGCGGGUAAGGAAGAAGAGGCGGCUAGGGGUCAGCUGGAGCUAGGGUUAGGGUUUUCCUCUAUGAAAUCCCUAGUUAGCUUAUAUAUACAUAGUGGUAAACUUGCAAUUAAGUUCACCAAAGAUCGGUAUUUUCAGCUGAGUCCCUCACAGCAUGAGUAAAAUACGUGUACGUACCCCCACAUUUGAUUUCACGCAAAAUGGUACAUAAAAUAUAGGGCUUUUCGCAAAAUUUUCAUUUUGCCACUUACGACCCCUCCUCGAUUUUCGCACGAUAUUAGGAGAUCCGUCUGUCAUAUUUGCGAACGGACUAUGCCGGCACGUUCAGCACGAUCGAGGCAUCGAACCCAUGAUUUUGCUUCAUUCGAUUUGGUUGCCAAUUCGCGGCAAAAGCCAUCCUCUCUCCGAUUCUCCAAAACCACAACUAUAUGUGUAAAUAAAUCAAACAAACCUCAAAUUCAAAUUCAAAUUUGAAUUCCCUACCAUUGGUAGGUACUCGAACCAUCCUCCACUCUACUCCAGAAUACACGAACGGAGCACGAGAAGUUUUACAACACAAGAACAACAAAGAACAAAAACCCUCUUUGCAAUAAAAUCCAAUUUUCUUGGAACCCGUGGGUCAAAACCAAACUCCGUCAGCGCCAAUGGGUCCAGGACAAUAGGACCAUUAAAAUCGAGCUAUUGGGUCACUAUAAAUGGAAUCUGAUACUCACCAGAAGCCAUACUACUCAUUGGUCUCUCUGGAAAAACCCGAGCUACUAUUCACUUUAAGUGAUUAGUGAAGAUCGCGUAACUUCUCCAUCCUAACUUGUUUUCUUCUGAAACUUGGCGAGUGCUUAUGUAAUUGAAUUACAUAAAAAUAUCAUCAAUAAGGAAUUUAACUACACAGCAAAAUUCUCAGUCCUCACAAUACAACGAUUGUCAAUCGGGAAGUCGCGUUCUGCCCGCUGUAUAAUCCUAGCUCAGCCGAAACUCAUCUCACACUUGUUGCUAGUAAUUGGCUCUGAUGCACACCACUUCCCAAGGCGUCACCAUCUUAGAACUACUCUAGUUGUAGCAUACUUAAUCCUCUUAAUCUCUUAGAUCUAACCAUCUCUCAAAAUAUUAUAGCAUGGUUACGAGGUUUAGCCCUAUAAUAUCUUACUAGUGAAGGGACCCGCGCUUUGCAGCGGAUAGAAACCGUAGCAGUAAUUAAUAAUAUGAAAAUAUUAAACAUUCUCGUGUGUAUCUCACUUGGUACAUCCACCAAAGGUCUCUCAAUGUUGGCGGAGGAUAUGGGCCCGACGAUGCCUUCUCCGGCGAUGGUGAUAGUGACGGCGACAACGAUCCCUCCGACCGCGGCGGAAGGGGAAAGUGGGCGCGCAUUCAUAAGAGAAAGAGAGAGAGAGAGAGAGAGAGAGAGAGAGAGAGAGAGAGAGAGANCCUCUUAAUCUCUUAGAUCUAACCAUCUCUCAAAAUAUUAUAGCAUGGUUACGAGGUUUAGCCCUAUAAUAUCUUACUAGUGAAGGGACCCGCGCUUUGCAGCGGAUAGAAACCGUAGCAGUAAUUAAUAAUAUGAAAAUAUUAAACAUUCUCGUGUGUAUCUCACUUGGUACAUCCACCAAAGGUCUCUCAAUGUUGGCGGAGGAUAUGGGCCCGACGAUGCCUUCUCCGGCGAUGGUGAUAGUGACGGCGACAACGAUCCCUCCGACCGCGGCGGAAGGGGAAAGUGGGCGCGCAUUCAUAAGAGAGAGAGAGAGAGAGAGAGAGAGAGAGAGAGAGAGAGAGAGAGAGAGAGAAAGAGAGAGAGAGAGAGGGAAGGAGGUGAUGGUGUAUAGCAAAAGAUGAGAGAUAGAGAAUUGAUGAAUAUAUUGAAGAUAAAGAAUUGAAAGUAUGUGGAGGAAAGGAAAAAGGUCAUGAUGAAUAAUUAGAGAUAAAGAGGUUAGGAUUGUAGAUGGUAAGGGGACCAUUUAAAUAUAUUAAUUGGAAGUUAGAUAGUGGAACCCAUUAAUUGAAAUAUAAUGGAUGGGAGGGAAGUGGUCAUUAUGAAUAAUUGUAGAUAGAAACGAUACAAUUGAAUACACUAAUUGAAAGUUUGGUUAGUGGGAUCGUUAAAAUGCAUAUUGAAAAUUUGGUGAAGGGAAGAAGAAGAGUCACAUGCUAGUGAGGAUGAAAGAGAACUUGCCACGUGACAAUAAACAUUAGGAAUUCAUAUAGGUUAAUAGAUAUAUGGGACUAUUCUAAAU
This 63457-nucleotide long non-coding RNA is filed under the name Ananas comosus (pineapple). Its description in RNAcentral is "long non-coding RNA (ACOM_LNC026284)". Lineage: Eukaryota; Viridiplantae; Streptophyta; Magnoliopsida; Poales; Bromeliaceae. The record is from RNAcentral.